This 72967-nucleotide long non-coding RNA is filed under the name Phaseolus vulgaris (common bean). Its description in RNAcentral is "long non-coding RNA (PVUL_LNC002725)". The record is from RNAcentral. Lineage: Eukaryota; Viridiplantae; Streptophyta; Magnoliopsida; Fabales; Fabaceae.
UUGACAACUUCAUAGUGUCAAUGAUAAAAAUGGGAAAUAUUGGAGUGCUGACAGGAACUGAUGGAGAAAUUCGCACGCAAUGUAAUUUUGUGAACGAGGAUUUGUCCGCAAUAUUAGCUGGUGUGGCCUCCAAAGAUCCUAAUGAGAACCUGCUUGCUCAAUCUAAGUAAGUUAAUACGUGUAAGUUAAUAUGUGUAGUAAAGGGAAAAUAAAAGGUUCUAAACCUUGGUGCUGUGUUGAAAUUGUCCAAUUAGUGUGGAUGGCAAAGUGAUUUUGCCAUGUACCUCUCAGUUUGCUAUGUAUUUACUUCGAUGAAUCUCAUUAUCAUUUCCACCUUUCUCUCUCUCCUCUCUUACUUGAAUAAUAUAAAGUCUAUACAUUUCUUUCUUCAAAUGCUACAGAAGUAAAACCAUAUGGAAAUUAAUUGUGCAUACAAUUAGGACAGGAAUAUGUAUCAGACAAACAGGCACAAGUCUGGUAAGAUCUGAUAUAUAUACGCAUUGGGAUACCCUGUCUGCUACACAAAAUGUUUUGUAAUACAAAUCUACGGGUAUCUUGUACUUGUAGCAGUGUGACUGAUUCAUGUAGAUGCAUACAGUCCUUGUCCUGAUAAUGUAAUGACAAUUUUAAACACAUAAUAUGGCAAGAGUUGCAUAGCAAAAGAUCACGUUUUCAUGCAUACUUUGUUUUAUUUCAAUAUUGUAGUAAAGAGGUUUACAACCUUUAAUUUGCUUUUACAGCUCACAUUUCCCGUUAACUUAUUAAGAUUGAGAAACCAUGUUUUGUUUAGAAUUUUUGGACGUCAUACUAGCUAGUCCAAAGGAGUCUCCAUUCACAAAAUUACACUGUAACCGAAUUUCUCCUUCAGCCCCCGUCAGCACUCCAAUAUUUCCCAUUUUUAUCAUUGACGCCCUAAAGUUGUCAAAGAAAGUGUUUUGGUUACUGCUGAAGCUAUUGACAAUGGGAAUGGUAUCAGCAGCAGGAGUAGAGAAUAGUUCUUGGUCGCUCUGAAGUAAGCCAUUGAGUUGCUGAAGAUUGGAGUAAUAUUUGUUAUCAAAUUGAUCAGGAGUGGUGAGGUCCAAAUUGGUGAGGUUGUUCCCAGUUGCAUUCUGGGGGCAUAUCUGACGCAGUGUUGCUAAGUAAACUGUAUUCAGAGUUGGAUCAGGGUUUCCAGUGUUGUUGAAGUUGUAUAAUCGGUUAUUGAAUGUACUGCAGUGAGCUCUUCCAAACGUAUGAGCACCUGUGUAUAUGCAUAUAUAUAAUGGUUUGAAAAUUAGAAAUAGUACAUGUAGUGUUUGAUACCAUGUUAACUUAUUCACUUUUCAACAAAUUAAACAAAAAUUAAGAAACUCUAUACCUUAAAUACAAUUUGAGAUCAUGAAGUUGAUGCUAGGUAUUAGUAAUGUGAAUUUGAUUAUGCAUACCUGAGAGUGCAACUAAAUCAGUGGUGUUGAGACCUUGAACAGCAAAUGAUGCUUUAAGUUGAGUGAGGUUGAAGAAAGGAGGAGGAAGGUUUUGAUUUGCAAGGGUUCUGUUUGCAGUUAAACUAUCUUUUCUUCCUAAUGGAACUAACCAUCCUGGACCUCCUCCCUGAAAUAGAUAAAUUAAAACACUUUAGUACAUAUUUUAUAAAACUCAACCAAAAGUUAAUGGUGGAUGUUUAACUAACUGAAAUUUUAAUUUAUUGUCUCGAACAAAACAACAAUGUACCAUAUAUAUAGUUGUAUACUUUGAUAUUUUAUAUUUUUUAAAUAUGGCACAGAUAUUUUUUAUAGGGUGAUGAUACACUGAUACCCAUUAAAUAAAAACACACACAUUGACAUUCUUAAAUAAUAAUUUUGUAAUCAUAUUUUUUUUUAUUUUUUAAUUUUAAAUUCUAAUAUAUAUUAUUAUAUUAUUAAAAUAGUUUGUAAAGUGAAUGUUAUUUUUUGAAGAGUGUCAAUAAAACUUUUUUCUUUUUAUAGAGAUAGUGAUUAAUUAUUUAAAACAUCAUCAAAGAUAUUUCAGUACAAACAAAAGUCAAAUUAUGUUCUAUUUUCUUUUCAAUGACUUUUUUCGCAAAGAAGAAAACAUAUACGUAAUAAUAAGCAUUUUGCACGAAAAGCCAGGUCACAUGCAACACAUUAAUUCAUCCUAUAUACUUCAAUUUGACUUUCUAUGUUGAUGAUGCGAGGUAUUUCAAAAUCAUUUUUGCCGUGCAAGAGUUGAACACGAUGAUAACGAAUUGUCUAUAAAUAAGGAAAAGUUUCUUUUGACAUUCAAAAAGAAAACCAAAAUAAAAUUAAUAUAUUAAAGUAAUAAUUAAUAGGGUUGUUAAAUGUAUGUGUUUUACGGAUGUCACCACCCUAUUAAUAAAUACCUAAAUACCCGAAUUUUGAGAUGUUAUUAAAAUAAUAAUAUAUUGACAAUUCAAUUUUUUAUAUAACCAUAUUAUAAUUUUAAUAUUUUUAUAUCAUUUAAUUAUAAAUUUAUUAUUUAUUAUAUAUAUUUAUUUUUAAAUUUAUUACAUAAAAAAUUAUAUACUUCUUUUUCAAAAUUGUGAAACCAUCAUUUCUCAUAUUAUUACUUAUUACUUGAGAGUUGGCUAGCUGUUUCACACUCAAGGGUGUAUAAUAUAUUAUUACAAUUAAACAUUGCUUAAGUUUUUUUUCCUCUUUCGCAUAUCUUGGAGGCAAGUAAGUUCAACACGGAUUGAGUCCAUUUAUUCAUGUGAUUAAUGGUGACUCACACACACACUAAAAUUAUGGUAUUAAAAACUAUGCCCUUAGGUUUAAUCUUAAUUACGCCAGUUAAUUAUCAUAAAGAAUAACCUACAACUCUUGCCAAUCUUCUCUAUCUUGCUUUUUUGUUCAAAAAGCCCGGAAAAGUUAUUUAUAAUCAGUUAUUGCUGAUAAAAAAAAGGUUAUUAUAAUCAAUCAAAAUUUUCGAGUCUAAGAGUAUUAAAAUUAAAAACUAUGACUGAUUCCCAUCCAUUAAUACUUAUUGAGGAUUGAGAUCUUUCAAUGAUAUCCGGUGUGACCCUUAUUCAAAGAAUUGCGUUUGAAUUUUAAUUAUAAUUUUUUUUAAUCAGCCAAAAUUUUUUUGUUACAAAUUUUAUAUUUGAAUCCCAAUACCAUGUAUAUAAUUUUUAAUCCAUGCCAUUUUUUAAAUCUAACAUAAACUGUAUAUUUCCUUUUUUUUCUAAUUCACCUUAAUUAGGACAUCACACUACGUUAAAUGAUUGAGAAUUUGAACUUACCAGAAUAGAACCUAUUUCAGCUGCAAUAGUAAGAAUAUCAGCACAAGAAACUGUCCCCGGACAACUAUUUUCCACCGCUGUCUUGAUAUUAUUGACCACAUCCAAACCCCUUAUUGAAUUGUUAUUUGGAAUUGCAUCUUGUUCGCUUUCUAUAAUAGCAGUGUUGUUCAGUAAAACUGAUGCAUCACAACCCUGUCAACAAUAUAACAAUAUAGCUUUAGUUGUUGUUAAUGAGAUUUCUCCUUUUUACCAUAGUAUCUAUAUCCUAUUCUAAUGAUAUAAAAACAGUAAAUGUUGUCCAGGUUUGUUUGUUCCUUGUUCAAGAAAACUGUAUUAAGCUGAAUUAAGCCACCUUUUUUCUUUAAGUACCUAAUUACAACAUUAGGUAAUGAAUGAAUGCAACUGUGCACAUACCAUGGUUGUUUUAAUAAGCACAGUGCUUAGUAAAAAGAGCAAAAAACAAUGACAAGUGUUUUGGAAAAAAGAAGUACAUACUUGAACAAAGCAAUCAUGAAAAUGAAGCCUGACGAGGCUAGCCCCUAUUCGGGGAUCGGUUAAGGAAGCUUGAAAGAUGACUUGAAACACAAUAUUGAAUAGAUUUGGACAUGUUUCUCUGUAGAACGUAGGACUAAGCUGAGCAUUAGUGACUGAAAACCCUGCAUGCAAUGCAAAUGCACACAACACUGCCACUACUACUACACGCAUGGAACCCAUUUUGGCUGUUCUUGAUCCCAACUUAAUAUGUUCUCAGAUCUCACAUCGAUCCUUUAUUUAUACAAGAUAUGAAAUGGGUGGAUAUCUUGGAAAUCACGACAUCUCAUAUGUUUGCAUUAACUUCAUUUUUUUUAAAUUAUUCUUUCACGAAUGUAUUCUUUAUGAUAUGGCGCCCAAUUGGCUAUGAUGCUUCUUGAUUUUUUUUACUUGAAUUAUUGUGCCAUGGUAGGACCAGUAAAGAGUAGGAAUCGUUAUCUUCUUGAAAUGUUAUUCCCACAUUCUGUAGAAUGUGAUGGAGCACACAAAGCCACGAAUUUAGAAAAUGUUAUAUUUCACACAAGUAUUUUUUGAUGAAAACUGAAUUUCAAAAAACUUGUGUACACUAAGUUCAGCAUCUUGAUCCUAACUAAAAUUUGCUUUGUAGGACCACAGCAACACCACAUACCACUGCAGUAGGCACUGUGCAAAAUAAUUCACCUCUCUUAAGAGAGCAUCCACUCCCCUGAACCUCUCUGCAUAAACAUUUUCAUACUAAAUUACCUUUAGCAUUGACCUGUAAUGUAGUAGGGGUAAAAGAGUGAUUUUCAGGGAAAUUGUGAAGCAUUAGAGCUUUCUUCAACUUUGGCUUACAUAAAAUAAAAUCAUGAAAUAAAAAUCAAUUUUAGAGAGAAAAAAUAAUUAGUUGUUAUAGUAACUAAAUUAGAUACUAUUUUAGAAAUUAUUUUUUUUAAUUCUAAAUUAGUUUCGAUUAUUGUUAAAUAAUUUCUAAAUUAGUAUCAAAUUAGCUAUCAAGGUUUUAACUACUAAUUAAAUAGAAACCAUUUAACAAUAAUAUAAGCUAAUUUAGAAACCAAAAUUUUUUUAGUCUUUAAAAUGAUCUUUAAUUUAAUCAUUAUAACAACUAAUUAUUUUUUAUUUCUAAAAAUUAGUUUCUAUUUCAUAAUUUUCUUUUAAUGUAAUAAAAGCAUGUUAUGUGACUUUUAAAAUAAUUAUUAAAAGUGUACAUAUUCUAUAUAAAAAGCAUUACACCUUUUACUGACAAAAAGUUAUCUUUGAGUGUGAUUUUAAAAUAAGUUUUAGAAAUAUAUAUAAAAAAAUGUACCAAAUAUGAUAUAGUAUCUAGUUUUAAUAACUAUGAAAAAAUUAUAUUAUAAAAGAAAUUUAAUCUAAGUUACACUACAAGGAAAUCAUGAAAUAGAAACUAAUUUUUUUUUUAGUUUUUAAAAUGGUAUCUAAUUUAAUUACUAUUGCAACUAAUUAUUUUGGUCUCUAAAAAUUGGUUUUUAUUUCAUGAUUUUCUUGUAGUGUUAAUUUGAUUGCAUACACUACAAGAAAAUCAUGAAAUAGAAAUCUAUUUUAAAGACAAAAAAUAAUUAGUUGUUAUAGUGACUAAAUUAGAAACCAUUUUAAAAACUAAACAAACUUUUGGUUUUAAAAUUAGUUUCUAUUAUUGUUAAAUGAUUUCUAAAUUGGUAUCUAAUUAGCUACCAAGGUUUUUGCUACCAAAUUUAGAAUCUAAAUAAUUGGUAGUUAAAAUCUUAGUAGCUAAUUAGAUACAAAUUUAGUAACUAUUUAACAAUAUAAAAACUAAUUUAAAACCAAUUUUUUUUAGUUUCUGAAAUAGUCUAUAAUUUAUUCACUAUAAUAACUAAUUGUUUUUUUUUUAAAUUAAUUUCUAUUUCACAAUUUUAUUGAUAAAUCUAAUUAAACAUGGUGGAUGAUUAAGAGUAAUUAAUAAUUAUGGUAUUCUCUUUUAAGUUUCUUAUGUCAAAGUCAAGUUUCUAAACAGGAAUUCUGUAAUAAAUCUUUUAAAGAUCUUCUUUCUAGAAAGCCACCUAUUUCUUAAUUAUUAGAAGAGUGAUGAUAUUUUGAUAUUCUUUUUUGUUUUAGAUAAAAUUGUUUAAUAACUUGUUACAAUAAUAUAAUAAUAUGAAUAUUCUAAUUAUAACAAGAUCAUUUUUAAAUGAUAUAUUAUAUGUUAUUAUAAUAAGGUUCUACACAUUAAUUUGCUCAUUUUUACUCCAUCAUUAGCAUAAGGUUACAAAAGUCAAAUGGUUGUCCAUUAACCAUCUGCAUGACUUUGGAGUACUUGGUCAUAACCUUCAAUUGAUUAAAUAUUAGCAUGUUCGGUGUUAACUAAUCAUAUAUUAAUAAUUAAUAUUAUCAAAAUAAUAUUUUGAUAAUUGUUUAUUAAUAAAAUAUAAGUAUUUAAUUGAAAUACUAUUAUUAUUAUUAUAAAAAACUAUUAUUCUUUUUAUCGACAACCACUACGAGAAAAAUUUGAUUUAGCUUCCAAAUUUUUGCGUGGGCCAUUUGCGGACGCUACUCUCGUUGGCCAAAAUGAGUAAAAGCCCACGCAAGAUUUACAUUGGACGCAUAUAUUAAUUUAUUUAUUUUUUUUAAAAAAAUUUUUGCGUCGGCCGCGGCCCACGCAUAGGCGUCGGUUUUGCGUCGGCCGCGGCCCACGCAUAUGCGUCCGUUUUGCAUUGCCCACAGAACCCACGCGUCCGCUAUAGCCCACACAUGUUUAGAAUUUUAAAAUUUAAAUAUUUUUAAUGUAUAAUAAAUAUUUUAAUUUUGAAUUCUUUAUUAUAUUUAUUUUAGAAUUAUUUUUUUAAUAUUAUAAUAAAUUAUUUAAUUUAUCAAUUUUGAAUAUAAAUUAAUUAAAUUAGAUUUAUUAAAUUAAAUAAGCGUUUGAUUUAAAAUUAAUUGAGUAAAAUAAAAUAUAUAUUUAAAUUAUCUAAAUGUUAUAUAAAAUAUUUGUUUAUUUUAAAUAUUAUUUAUUUUAAAUUUAUUUUAUUUAUAUAUUGUCAUAACUAUUUUAUUUUUGAAAUUAUGAUAUAAAUUAGUUAAAUUAAAUUUAUUAAAUUGAUGAUAAUAAUAUUAAAUUUAUUAAAUAUUAAUAUUAAUACUAAUAAUAUUAAUAAUAUGUAUAAUAAUAUUAAUUAUAAUAUUAAUAAUAAUUUUUAUAAUAAUAUUAAUUAUAAUGUUAAUUAUAAUAUUAAUUAUAAUGUUAAUUAUAAUAUUAAUUAUAAUGUUAAUUAUAAUAUUAAUUAUAAUGUUAAUAAUAAUAUUAAUUAUAAUCUUAAUAAUAUUAUUAAUAAUAAUGUUAAUAAUAAUUUAAUAAUAAUGUUAAUAAUAUGAGUAUAAUUUAUUUUAUUAUUAUUAAUAAUAAUUAUAUUAAUAUAUAUAAAUUUAUUUUGCACUUCCUCCCAUACAAACUCCAUCAAAGGCAACAUCUCAUUCCAACUUCCCAGAUGAUCCAACACACAUGUCCUCACAAAUCUUUUAAGGACUAGAUCGUUCUCUCAUACUGCUCAUUUGUUUGAGGAUGAUAUGCAGAGCUCAUUCUCAAUCUAGACCCCAAAUAAUCUUGUAGAAUUUUUCAAAACUAUGAAGUAAAUCUGACAUCUCUAUCAGAAACAAUAUUCGAAGGCACUCCAAGCAAUUUCAUAAUCCCUCUGAUGUACAACUGUGCCAACUUGGCUAUAUUAUUCUCAAAUUAACUGGAAGAAAAAUGAGCGCUCUUUGUUAGUCGAUCAUCUAUCACCCAGACUGCAUCAAUGUCUCUUACUAUUCUCGGCAUAUAGGUAAUAAAAUCCAUAACAAUGCUAUCCCAUUUUUACUCGAGAAUAUCCCACUACUGCAACAACCACUAGGUCUCUGAUGUUCUACCUUUGCCUUUUGAGAUGUCAAACUUGUCACAACAUACUAAGCUAUUUCUUUUCUCAUGUCUGAUCACCAAAAGGAUUCCUUCAAAUUUUGGUACAUCUUAUUCAUACUGGGAUGUAAACUUAUAUAACCCUUAUAACCCUCUUCUAGAAUCAUUAUCUUCAGUUCUUCAUUGGUAGAUAUACAAACUCUGCCUUUGAAUCUCAAUAUCUCAUCUUCUCCCAUCACAAAGUCCUUAGUUUGAUAUAUACUACAACUAAUAUGAUUAACAUGGAAUUGUACUCCCAAAUUUAGAUUUCUGAACUGCUCAAUCAACUUCUGCUCUUCAAUCAUCAUGGCUGACACUUGUGCUGACUUUCUUCUAAGAGUAUAUGCAACUACAUUAGUCUUCCUUGGAUAGUACAUAAGCUGGAAAUCAAAAUCUUUCAUAAACUCCAGCCAUUCUCUCUACCUCAUGUUCAACUCUUUCUGAUCCAACAAGUAUUCACUGAACAUCUGAAAUUGAGUUUCAUAUAAAUAAUGUCUUCAAAUCUUCAAAGCAAACACCACCACUGGAAACUCUAAGUCAUAAGUAGAAUAAUUUCUCUCAUGAACUUUGAGUUUCAUUGAAACAUAUGCAACUCCUAUCUUCUCUUGUAUUAAGACACAAUUCAAUCUCUGAUGUGAAGCAUCAUACUAAACCUCAAAAGGAUUUUUUUUUUCCUGUAUCAGGAAUCUCCAACACUAGAACACUUGUCAACCUUUUCUUCAGCUUUAUGAAACUCUGCUCACAUCUUGGUUGGAUCCACUGAGACCCCUGAGCUGAUAAUACAUACUCAUAAAGUUCAUAUCGAGACCUAAAGAUUGUCUUCUGCACAUCUUCAGCCUUUACCAAAAUCUUGUGCUAUCCAAAUCUCAUAUCAAACUUUGAGAACUGUGGCUCCAUGUAACUGAUCCAUCAAAUCAUCAAUUCUGGGUAGAGGAUACUUGUCCUUGAUGAUCAACUUAUUCAACCAUCAAAUCACCUUUCUUUUUAACUAACAAUAGUGGAAACCCCGUGAAAAUAUAUUGAGCCAGAUUAACCACUUCUCUAACAACUCUUCUACUUGUUUCUUCAAUUUAGUCAACUCAGUUGGAGUCAUUCUGUAAGGUCCAAUUGACAUUGGUCCAACUUCAGGUACCAGAUCAAUGUAACAUUCUACUUCUCUCUUUAGAGUUAAUCCAGGUAUUUCUUUUUGGAAAUACUUCUACGAAUUCCUUCACCACAUGUAUACUACUCAUCUCAUCUUCAUUCUUAACUCCCAUCUGAGUAAAAAUUAUAAAACAACUUGAUCUUUUCUUCAGUUCAGACCACACUUGUUGAGUAGACAUAGAUUCUAACUCAUUGGAAUUUGGAAACACUAUCUUUCAUUGAGCACAACCUUUGAAAAUGUGAUUGGCAGAUAGCCAAUCCAUUUCUGGAAUAAUAUCCAAUUCAUCUCCUACAUACUUGGCAUAAGCUAGUGUGUCGAUUCCAAAUCAUACAAUGCUUUCAAAUCCAUAUCAACUAAACAACAUCCAUUCUGCAUGAAUUUUUUUUUUUUUUCCAAGUAAUUUCUCUGUCUGUUCCUUUUCAACAAUUUUCUUUGUCUAACUAUAAUCUAAACACAAUUAAGAUAUCUCACCUUUCUUCUUUCUCAAUAUUAUUGAUACUUCUCAAAUGAUAUAAUCAACUUGUAAACUUUUUUCACCAUAAAAUCUCAAAUUUUCUUUUAAGCUUUGUUGUUCAGCUAGAGCCAUCUUAUGUUGUGUUAUCAACAACCUUUUCCAAGCUUCAUAUCAAAGAAAAUUCAUACUUUCAUCUUGGAACUUAACUCGGGUACUUCCCAUGGAAACACGUGCUUAAAUCUUUAAACCUUCAACAUACUAUUUAUUUACUCUUCAUAACUUAUAUGUAUCUGAAACUAAACCUUGACACAACUAAAUCUAACUUGCACUUGCUCUACACUUAUAGGGUAACUAUCCAUUCUUACUUUCUAGGGAUUUUUGGAACUAUUGUUUACUAUUUCUAUUCCUAUUCCUAUAAAAUGUAAUUCAUAAAGAAUCAAUUUAUUUAGAAGACAACAUCUAGAUCUUACAAAGGCAAGCAAUCUCAAAAUCAUCUAGAAUUUGAGUUUAUCAAAAAAUUCAUAAUACUUAUAAUAUAAAGUAUUAUACCAAAAUAAUUAUUGAUGUACAACUGUUAAUCUAAAAGACAACUUUCCAUCAAAUACAAAAACACUUAAUGAAAUAAAAUGAAUCACACAAAAAUUUAAUAUAUGCUAAACAUCAAACUUUUAGAAUUAAGAUAGAGAAUCAUCUUGAUUCAGUUAUGAGUGUGCACCCUCACUACUUUAUCAAGAUCUUUUCAUUCUUAAUACUAAAAUUUUCAUUUAGAACACACAUUUACUAUAGCACAAACAAGAUUUUCAAAAACCUUUUUAAAAAAAAUAUUUGAAAACCUUUCACUAUAACUUUAAUUAAGACUCCAAUAAUUAUUUAUAAGCAAAAGAAGCACAAUGAACCCACUACCCUCAGGUCAUCCUAAGGAUGAACUGCUCUGAUACCAAAUGUAACAUCCCUAUAUUUUCCCAUAUCUAUAACCAUAAUCUGUAUGAAAUAUUAAAAUAAAUAUAUAAACAUAAUACAAAUAUAUCUAAAAUUUCAUUAUUAUAAUGUUUCAAAUUAUCUCUCUCUUCAUAAGACUUGAAACAUUUACAUAAAAUUUAAAACAAAAUUUCAAAAGAAAAAUAAACAUUUUCCAUUAUCCAUCUUCUCACCGAAAAACUUUAUCACCUCUAACAUCAUCUGCUCCCGUGUAAAAUACACGAUCAUCAUAGAUCAAAGAAAAACAACCACAAAACAAAACAAAUGGUAAGCUAGGUAUUUUAAAACUUAUAACACAAAUAUGACUUUAAACAUCCACAUAAAUUCAUCAUUUCUCAUGCAUUUCACAUAACCAUCAAGUGUCUAUNNNNNNNNNNNNNNNNNNNNNNNNNNNNNNNNNNNNNNNNNNNNNNNNNNNNNNNNNNNNNNNNNNNNNNNNNNNNNNNNNNNNNNNNNNNNNNNNNNNNNNNNNNNNNNNNNNNNNNNNNNNNNNNNNNNNNNNNNNNNNNNNNNNNNNNNNNNNNNNNNNNNNNNNNNNNNNNNNNNNNNNNNNNNNNNNNNNNNNNNNNNNNNNNNNNNNNNNNNNNNNNNNNNNNNNNNNNNNNNNNNNNNNNNNNNNNNNNNNNNNNNNNNNNNNNNNNNNNNNNNNNNNNNNNNNNNNNNNNNNNNNNNNNNNNNNNNNNNNNNNNNNNNNNNNNNNNNNNNNNNNNNNNNNNNNNNNNNNNNNNNNNNNNNNNNNNNNNNNNNNNNNNNNNNNNNNNNNNNNNNNNNNNNNNNNNNNNNNNNNNNNNNNNNNNNNNNNNNNNNNNNNNNNNNNNNNNNNNNNNNNNNNNNNNNNNNNNNNNNNNNNNNNNNNNNNNNNNNNNNNNNNNNNNNNNNNNNNNNNNNNNNNNNNNNNNNNNNNNNNNNNNNNNNNNNNNNNNNNNNNNNNNNNNNNNNNNNNNNNNNNNNNNNNNNNNNNNNNNNNNNNNNNNNNNNNNNNNNNNNNNNNNNNNNNNNNNNNNNNNNNNNNNNNNNNNNNNNNNNNNNNNNNNNNNNNNNNNNNNNNNNNNNNNNNNNNNNNNNNNNNNNNNNNNNNNNNNNNNNNNNNNNNNNNNNNNNNNNNNNNNNNNNNNNNNNNNNNNNNNNNNNNNNNNNNNNNNNNNNNNNNNNNNNNNNNNNNNNNNNNNNNNNNNNNNNNNNNNNNNNNNNNNNNNNNNNNNNNNNNNNNNNNNNNNNNNNNNNNNNNNNNNNNNNNNNNNNNNNNNNNNNNNNNNNNNNNNNNNNNNNNNNNNNNNNNNNNNNNNNNNNNNNNNNNNNNNNNNNNNNNNNNNNNNNNNNNNNNNNNNNNNNNNNNNNNNNNNNNNNNNNNNNNNNNNNNNNNNNNNNNNNNNNNNNNNNNNNNNNNNNNNNNNNNNNNNNNNNNNNNNNNNNNNNNNNNNNNNNNNNNNNNNNNNNNNNNNNNNNNNNNNNNNNNNNNNNNNNNNNNNNNNNNNNNNNNNNNNNNNNNNNNNNNNNNNNNNNNNNNNNNNNNNNNNNNNNNNNNNNNACUCAAAACAAGAAAUCUUGCAACAAAAUUUGGAAUUGGUGACCACGUCACACUCACAUUCAAAUCUUCUAACCUAGGGUUCUAUUGAAGAUUUUAAACUAGCUCCCUUUACCUGGACUUUAGCAGAUGCUCAUUAAGAUCUCCAAACCCACCAAAAGCUUAAGGAUACCCUAACCUGCACCACAGAGUCCUGGUCACAAAUCUAAGUACAUCACUAGGACCCUGAGCUAACAGAGACUAAUUCUGAAGAUAAAAAACCUCACAUGCAAACUUAAUUUAAAAGGUAACCCAACCAAAUCAAAACUAACUCAAAGGAAAAAGAGCCAAGAAUGAACUUACUCUAUCUAAGAUUUUGAUCGGUCAAACUUGUAGAGUUCACUGCCAGGAGUCCAAUGGCAGACUCUAAUCAUCAAACUAAUGAAAGAGGAGGUCAGAAUCUAAGAGAGAGGAGAGAGGAAAGGAAAAAGGAAACAAAAGUGAACAUACUCUAUGAAAGAUUGUGAUCGAUCAAUCUUGUAGAUCUCGCUGCCAGGAGUCCAAUGGUGGACUCCGAUCGUCAAACAGAUGAGCGAGGAGGUCGGGAUUUUAGAGAGAAGGCAGAGGAAAGGAAAAAUGAGUUUUUAGAGAGAUGAUGGUUCUUUUUAAAAUGAAACCUGAAUAACUAAAUUUCUAUUUAUAUAGCCUUUUCACUUUAAUAAUAAAAUAUUCAGGUGUCAUUUUAAUUGUACCAUUUCUACUCUAAGACUAUUUUUCUCGGUCCUUACAGUAGAUACAUCUUGUUUGGUUAUAGAUGACAAAUGAAUCCAUCUUACGAGUAUUGUCAUAACUCCGUUCUUGGAAAUUCCUACUUUAAUUGGGUAUGGAUAAUAUCUAAAUUUUGUAAAUUGUGUAUAAAGACGUGUAAAAAACUGAUACUCGAAUAAUAUUUUUAAAAAUAAUAAAAAAAUAUCUAUCAUUUAAAAGAGUGUGAAAGUCAUCAAGUUCAUAUUACAACAAUCUUGUAAUGAAUUGAUUGCGGUAAUCCUAAAUCUAAACCCUAAAUCCCAGAAAAAAUAUUUCAAAACUCUCCUUAAAUACCACGAGUUUAAAAUUUUUCAUAAAAUACUAUGAAUUUCAAAACCUUCAUAAAAUACCACGGAUUUCAAAACCUCCAUAAAACACCAUAGAUUUCAGAACCUCCGUAAAAUAUCAUGGGUUUCAAAACCUGCAUAAAAUAUCACAGAUUUCAUAGCCUCCUUAAAAUUUCAGAGCCUCCUUAAAAUAUGACAAAUUUAAGAACUGAUGGAGAAAUUCGCACGCAGUGUAAUUUUGUUAACGAGGAUUUGUCCGCAUUAUUAGCUGGUGUGGCCUACAAAGAUCCUAAUGUGAACCUGCUUGCUCAAUCUAAGUAAGUUAAUACGUGUAAGUUAAUAUGUGUAGUAAAGGGAAAAUAAAAGGUUCUAAACCUUGGUGCUGUGCUGAAAUUGUCCAAUUAGUGUGGAUGGCAAAGUGAUUUUGCCAUGUACCUCUCAGUUUGCUAUGUAUUUACUUCGAUGAAUCUCAUUAUCAUUUCCACCUUUCUCUCUCUCCUCUCUUACUUGAAUAAUAUAAAGUCUAUACAUUUCUUUCUUUCAAAUGCUACAGAAGUAAAACCAUAUUAUGAAUUUAAUUGUGUGCCAUACAAUUGCGUAGCAAAACCAUAUUAUGAAUUUAAUUGUGUGCCAUACAAUUGCGAGCCUAAAAGCAUUUUGUUAAUUUCAAGUUAAGUGGAGUAAAAAAAGUGUUAAUUAGAUUUGAAGUUGUAUGUGGAUAGCAGUGAUAGUAAAAGUGAUAGUAAAAUUAUAGAAACACAAGAAUAAGAAGAUUUUCAGACACAUGAGAUAAAUCAUAAUGAGAUUUUUACUUUCGCGCAACUGAAGGCUUGAUCUUGGGUAAAGUCCAAAACCUAUAGGGUAUGUGUUUUCCUUUUCUGAUUGGUCUCAAGAGUCACUGAUUUGUAUAAAAUCUGUCAAAAAAAAUUAGAAGGUAUAACUGAUGAGUAGAGGGUUCAAUGUUAGUUUUAACGCUUUUUAGUUACGUUUUUGUAAAAGAGGUUAGACUCAAAGUUUUUGCUUAUGUUAUGAGAUUGGAGUAAGAGAGAGUGGUAGGUCUUUUAUACAAUAAUUGAUGUAUUUAUGAAAUAACUCUUAUUUAUUCAUUGUUUUUUAUAAAAAAUUAAUUAGGAUAGGAAUAUAUCAGACCAACAGGCACACCGUGCUUUGAAGUAUUAAUAUGUUAAUCACCUGGAAGUUGGAGAUAAAAUCUGAUAUAAGCAUUGGGAUAUAUACCCUGUCUGCUACACAAAAAUGUAUUGUAAUACAAACCUACGGGUAUCUUGUACUUGUAGCAGUGUGACUGAUUCAUGUAGAUGCACACAGUCCUUGUCCUGAUAAUGUAAUGACAAUAUUAAACACAUAAUAUGCCAAGAGUUGCAUAGCAAAAUCACGUUUGCAUGCACACUUUGUUUUAUUUCAGUAUUGUAGUAAAGAGGUUUACAACCUUUAGUUUGCUUUUACAGCUCACAUUUCCCAUUAACUUAAUAAGAUUGAGAAACCAUGUUUUAUUAUGGAUUUUUGUUCACAAAAUUACACUGGGACCGAAUUUCUCCUUCAUCCCCCGUCAGCACUCCAAUAUUUCCCAUUUUUAUCAUUGACGCCCUAAAGUUGGCAAAGAAAGUGUUUUGGUUACUGCUGAAGCUAUUGACAAUGGGAAUGGUAUCAGCACCAGGAGUAGAGAACAGUUCUUGGUCGGUCUGAAGUAAGCCUUUGCGUUGCUGAAGAUUGGAGUAAUAUUUGUUAUCAAAUUGAUCAGGAGUGGUGAGGUCCAAAUUGGUGAGGUUGUUCCCAGUUGCAUUCUGGGGGCAUAUCUGACGCAGUGUUGCUAAGUAAUUUGUAUCCAGAGUUGGAUCAGGGUUUCCAGUGUUGUUGAAGUUGUAUAAUCGGUUGACGAAUGUAAUGCAGUGAGCUCUUCCAAACGUAUGAGCACCUGUGUAUAUGCAUAUAUAUAUAUAAUGGUUUGAAAAUUAGAAAUAGUACAUGUAGUGUUUGUUGCCAUGUUUGAAAAAACUUAUUCACCUUCACUUUUCAACAAAUUAAACAAAAAUUAAGAAACUCUAUACACCUUAAAUAGAAUUUGAGAUCAUGAAGUUGAUGCUUGGUAUUAGUGAUGUGAAUUUGAUUAUGUAUACCUGAGAGUGCAACUAAAUCAGUGGUGUUGAGACCUUGAUUAGCAAAUGAUGCUUUAAGUUGAGGGAGGGUGAAGAAAGGAGGAGGAAGGUUUUGAUUUGCAAGGGUUCUGUUUGCAGUUAAACUAUCUUUUCUUCCUAAUAGAACUGCCCAUGCUGGACCUCCUCCCUGAAAUAGAUAGAUUAAAACAUUUUAGUACAUAUUUUAUAAAACUCACAAAAAGUUAAUGGUGGAUGUUUAGCUAACUGAAAUUUUAAUUUAUUGCCUCCAACAAAACAACAAUGUACCAUAUAGCACAAAUAUUCAUUAAUUAUUUAAAACAUCAUCAAAGAUAUCUCAUUACAGACAAAAAUCAAAUUAUCUUCUCUUUCCUUUUCAAUGACUUUUUCUCAAGAAAAAAACAAAACUAUAAGUAAUAAUAAGCAUUUUGCACGAAAAUCCAGGUCACAUGUACUUAAAUUAUUGACUUUCAAUGUUGAUGAUGCCAGGUAUUACCAAAAUCAUUUUUGCCGUGCUAGAGUUCAACACGAUAACGAAUUGUCCUUAUAAAUAAGGAAAAAUUUCUUUUGACAUUCCAAAAUAAAAUAAAUAUAAUUAAAAUAAUAUUUUAUAGGGUUGUUAAAUGUAUGUGUUUUACGGGUGUUAAAUAUCACCACCCUAUAAAUAAAUACCUAAAUACCCGAAUUUUGGAGAUGUUAUUAUUUGAGUGUAUAAUAUAUUAUUAUAAUUAAACAUUGCUUAAGUUUUAUUUUUUCUCUUUUUGCAUAUCUUGGAGGCAAGUAAGUUCAACACGGUUUGAGUCCAUUUAUUCAUGUCAUUAAUGGUGACUCACACACACACACUAAAAUUAUGGUAUUAAAAACUAUGCCCUUUUUUCAACCAGCUGACUCAAAUAGGUUUAAUCUUAAUCACGCAAGUUAUUUUUUUUUUUCAAUCAAGGCUUUAAUUACGCCAAUUAAUUUUCAUAAAGAAUAACCUACAACUCUUGGGAAUGUUCUCUGUCUUGCUUCUUUUUUUCAAAAGCCCGGAAAAGUUAUUAUAAUCAGUCAAUUUUUUCGAGUCUAAGAGUAUCAAAAUUAAACAUUAUCACUGAUUUCCAUCCAUUAAUACUUAUCCCAUCAUUAAUACUUAUUGAGAUUGAGAUUUUUCAAUGAUAUCCGGUGUGAUCUGAUUCAAAGAAUUCACUACAAGAAAAAAAAGUUAAGCUAGUUUUAGUGAGAAAAAGUAAUGAUAAAUAUAAGAUUGGUUACUAUUUAUAUAUUAUUUGUGAUUAUUUUUUUUUCACUAAUAUUGUUUAUAAUAGUGACAAAAUUAAAAAUAUCACAAUAAAUAUAUUAAAAUUAAUGAUAAAAAUAAAAUUUGUUCCUAUUUAUUUAUUAUUUGUGACUAUUCAUUUUAUUUGUCACAAAUGUUAUUCAUGAUAGUGACAAUAUUAAGAAAUAUCACAAUAAUUAUAUUAAAAGGUUAAAAACACAUAUCAUAAAUAAUUACUAAAAAAUAUAUAAUAUUUUUUAUAAUAAAAAUAUAAUUAAUAUAAUUUACUAAUUAUUUAUAAAUUAAUAGUUAUUUUUAUCAAUGAUAAAUUUUUAAUUAUUAGUCUGUUAAAAUAUGUCUAACAUUAUUUUCAUUUUAUGAUAAUAUAAUUAACGGUGAUAACUAUAAAAAUUAUGACUAUUUUUUUAAGUUAUUAAAAAAUAAUUGUUCUACUUUAGAUUUGAACUCAAAAUCCUUUAAUGAAAAAAAUUCAUUAUUUUCACUAUAUCACUUUAGAAUUAUCAUGAUGUUUGUAUCAAUAAUAAUAAUUCAUUCUUAAAAAAAACUAUUAAAUUUAUGUUAUUUUAUAUUUAAAUGUAUGAUUUUCUUUUUUAUAAGUCAAUAUUAUUUUUAUUUUGUGAUAAUGCAAUUAAUAGUGUUAUAUAUAAAAUUUGUCACUAUUUGUAUAUUAGUUGUGACUAUAUUUUAAGUUGUCACUAUUUGUAUAUUAGUUGUUACUAUAUUUUAAAUGUGACUAAUUUUAAGUUGUCACUAAUUUUUUAUUAAAAAUAAAAAAUAUACAUGCUAUAAAUAAUUAUUUAUUAAUGUAAAAUACCAUAUGAUAAAUUUAUUUUUCUUUCAAUAAAAAUAUAAUUAAUAAAAAAUUUAUUGAAUUUUUAUAAAUUAAUAAUGAUUAUUUAAUAUAAAAUAUCAUAUAAUACUAAUUUCAUUAUUAUAUAACUAGUAAUUGUGAAAAAAAAUAUUAAAAUUUUUCUAUUUUAAAUUUGAACCCAUAAUCUUUUAUUAAAGAGACAAUUUUACUUUCAUUGUGUCACGUUACAAUUACAAUACUUAUUUUGACACGAUCGGUCGGUUACUUAGACCGAGUGACUGACUCGUCUAGUACCGACCGGUACAUUAACAAUUUAAGAAAUUAUACAACUAAUGUGUUAAAGUGAAAAUGAAAACAUAUAAUCAGAAUUCAUGAAAUUAUAAAAUAAAUAAUCAAAAGUACAUAAUUCAUCCGUCAACAAUUUUUUUUUAUCUUUUCUUUUCAAUUUAACACUCUUUUUAUUUGACUAUGUUCUUCUUUUUUCUUCAUACUUUAUAAAUUAUAUAGACUUAUACUAUUUAUUAAAUUUUAUCUUUUUCUAAAAAUAAAUAUAAUUAUAAAAUAUAAAUGAUUAAGUACAAAGUUUGUUAUUAUGUAUAAAUACAUAAAUACAAGAUAAUGAAUCAAUCUCUAUUUGUAGUAGGCUUAUAACUGGUUAAAAUAUUCAAAAAUAAGUUUGAAGCUUAUAAUUUAGUCAAUUAUAACUAAAUCAGUUAUCAUGUAUUGUUCUCCACAUAUGUUGAAACAAUGUAUAUUUCUAAAUAUCUCAAGAGUUAAGAUACGAAUAAGAUGUUAGUACUUAAGCUUAUAUAUUAUGAGAAAAAUGCAAUUAUUCUCUUUGAAAUUAGGUUUAUCAAUGUUGUCUUACAAAAAUAUGCGGUAAAUUUUGUCAUUAACAUCAUAAUAUAUAAUAUACAAUUAUUUAAUUGUAAUUAUUAUUUUAUUGUUGACCUUAUAAUAUAUUUAAAUAAAUAAUAAAAUAUAAAUAUAGUUAUAUUUAAGUUAAUAUAUAAUCAAUGUUUAUGGUUAAAUAAAAUAAGAUAAUUAAGUAUUACUUUAUUAAAAAUAUAUAAAAAUUUAACAUCAUUUAUUAAAAUAAAAAAUUAUAAAUUUAUUUAAAAAAUUAAAAAUAUAUAAAUUUUAUUAAAAGAUUAUGAAAAAUAAAUAUUUUUUUAAGAAUAUAAACGUUUGAGUAACAUUUAAAAUGAUUUAUAAUGAGAUAAUUAUAUUUUUUAAAUUAAAUUAUAAAAAAGACAAGUUUUUUUAAAGUAAACUUGAAUAAAAAUUACUCUUAUUUUAUACUUCUUAGAUUGAUCCAUCACAUAUGUAACCUUAGGAUUACACCUCUCCUCAAUAUUACUCAAAGACUCAUGUUUAUAUGUUUGUGCAUAUCUAAAACAGUUAUUUUCAUGAGAUGUUUAAUCUGAAUAAUAAUAAUAUUAAUGAAAUUAAUAAUAUAAAUGAUAUUGAAUAUAUGAAUAUUAUUAAUAAUUUUUAUAUUAUUAAUUAUAUUAAUUAUAUUAAUAUUAUUAAUAUUAUUAAUAUUGUUAAUCAUACUAAUAAGUAUAAUAAUUAUUAUAACAUCACAAUAAAAUUUAAUUAGUGUAAUGGUUGAAGCUUCUUUGAUUAUUUAAGUGACUUGAUUUUGAUUCUUACCUUGUGGAAUUUAUUUUUAAUAUUAAUAAUAAUUAUAAUAGCAUAAAUAAUAUUUGUGGUGAGAAUUUAAUUAUUGUCAUGAAUAUUUAUAUUUAUAUGUGAUUGAAUUUUGAUUAUAUAUAUAUUUUUUUUGUCUAAUUCACCUUAAUUAGGGCAUUACUAUAAUGACACCACGUUAAAUGAUUGAGAAUUUGAACUUACCAGAACAGUACCCAUUUGAGCUGCAAUAGCAAGAAUAUCAGCACAAGAAACUUUCCCGGGACAACUUUUUUCCACCGCUGUCUUGAUAUUAUUGAUCACAUCCAAACCCCUUAUUGAAUUGUUAUUUGGAAGUGCCUCUUGCUCGCUUUCUAUAGUAGCAGUGUUGUUCAGUAAAACUGAUGCAUCACAACCCUGUCAACAAUAUAACAGUAUACCUUUAGUUGUUGUUAAUGAGAUUUCUCCUUUUUAUCAGAAUAUCUAUAUCCUAUUCUAGUGAUAAAAAAACAGUAAAUGUUGUCCAGGUUUGUUUGUUCCUUGUUAUAGAAUAAAAUCAAGAAAACUGUAUUAAGCUGAAUUAAGCCACCUUUUUUCUUUAAGUACCUAAUUACAACAUUAGGUAAUGAAUGAAUGCAACUGUGCACAUACCAUGGUUGGUUUAAUAAGCACAGUGCUUAGUAAAAAGAAAACAAUGACAAGUGUUUUGGAAAAAGAAGUUCAUACUUGAACAAAGCAAUCAUGAAAAUGAAGCCUGACAAGGCUAGCCCCUAUUCGGGGAUCGGUUAAGGAAGCUUUAAGGAUGACUGGAAACACAAUAUAGAACAGAUUUGGACAUGUUUUUAUGUAGAACGUAGGACUAAGCUUAGCAUUAGUGACUGAAAACCCUGCAUGCAAUGCAAAUGCACACAACACUGCCACUGCUACUACACGCAUGAAACUCAUUUUCGUUGUUCUUGAUCCCAACUUAAUAUGUUCUCAGAUCUCACAUCGAUCCUUUAUUUAUACAAGAUAUCAAGGGUGGAUAUCUUGGAAGUCACGACAUCUCAAAUGUUUGCAUUAACUUAAUUUUUUUUUAAAUUAUUUCUCAAAAGGUAAACUAACAUAAUUUCACUUAUAAUUAGUUGUUAUAGUGACUAAAUUAGAAAUCAUUUUAGAGACUAAACAAAAUUUAGUUUCUAUUAUUGUUAAAUAAUUUCUAAAUUGGUAUCUAAUUAGCUACUAAAGUUUUAACUACCACUUAUUUAGAUUUUAAAUUUGGUAGCAAAAACCUUAGUAGUUAAAACUAGAUACCAAUUUAGAAACCAUUAAUAAUAGAAACUAAUUUAAAAACCCAAAAAAAAUUUAAUUUAUAAAAUGAUAUCUAAUUUAGUUACUAUAACAAUUAAUUAUUUUUUUAUUUUUAAAAUUAAUUUUUAUUUCAUGAUUUUCGUAUUCAUUACUAUACGAGUUCCAAUUGGUUAUGAUGCCCACUUACUUCUUCCCCCUCAAAAUGCAAUUCCAAUUCGGCCAGAGAAUCAAAGGGCAGAUGGUAUGUCUUUCUAUUCAUCCUGAUUGUUGGAUUGAAAUUCAAAUCCGAAUGCGAGCAAGGUUAAAAACAAUAUAUAGAAUCUAAUCCGUCCUUCUAUCAAUCGAGAAAAAACAUUCAUCCAAAAUCUUUCUUUAUUACUACUACAUAAAACACUACAUUACAUAAACAACCACAUAUGACUUUCCUAGAGAACUAAGAGCUUUAAAAGCAUUCUGUUAUGCUAACUACAUUAAUUCAUUUCGAAACAGAAAUAAGUCAAAGGAUAGGCCUUAACAAGUAGAAAGAAGAUAAAGGAACUAUUUUUUUUUCUAGUCUUGAUUUUUUUUAUACUGGAAUUAUUGUGCCAUUGUAGGACCAGUAAAGAGUUGUAGAAUGUGGUUGGAGCACACAAAGCCACGAAUUUAGAAAAUGUUGUAUUUCACACAAAUAUUUUGUGAUGAAAACUGAAGUUCAAAACUGGUGUAGUAAGUUCAGCAUCUUUAAUCCUAAUUAAAAUAUGCUUUGUAGGACCACAGCAACGCCACAUACCACAGGCAAUGUGCAAAAUAAUUAACCUCUCUUAAGAGAGCAUCCACUCCACUGAACCUCUCUGCAUAAACAUUUUCAUACUAAAUUACCUUUAGCAUUGACCUGCAAUGUAGUAGGGGUAAAAGGAUGAUGAUUUUCAGGAAAAUUGUGAAGUAUUAGAGCUUAACUUCAAUUUUAACUUACUACUUUAAGAAAAUCAUGAAAUAAAAAUCAAUUUUAGAAAAAAAAUAAUAAUUAAUUAUUAUAAUAACUAAAUUAUACUAUUUUAGAGACUAAAAUAAUUUUUAAUUUCUAAAUUAGUUUUUAUUAUUGUUAAAUAAUUUCUAAAUUAGUAUCUAAUUAGCUACCAAAGUUUUAACUAUCAAUUAUUUAUAAAAAUUUGAUAGCAAAAAUAUUGGUAGCUAAUUAGAUACUAAUUUAAAAACCAUUUAACAAUAAUAUAAACUAAUUUAGAAAUUAAUUUUUUUUAGUUUUUAAAAUAGUAUCUAAUUUAGUCACUAUAGCAACUAAUUAUUUUUUGUUUCUAAAAUUAAUUUAUAUUUAUAUUUCAUAAAUUUUUUUAGUGUACAUUGAUACAUUAAUUUUUCUGAAUUUUAACUCAUAGUGUAGAGUCAACUAAGUUUCGUCAGAAAGUGGCAUUGUUUAAGUAAUAAUGUUAUAAUGUGUACAUUAGAGAAAAAGGUACUUCUUCAUUUUCUCCUUGGUUAUGUUUCUGCAGGGAUUAGGACAUACAAAAUAUUUUGCGCUGCCGUUACCUCAUUUAAUUAUAUUUUUUAUUUAUAAUAAAAAAAUGUAAACAUUCAUUUGCAGAAUAAUAUUUUUUUUACAAUUUGACUUAUCGAAUUUAAAAACAAAGUUUAAUUUGCCUGUGCUCUCCACUUAAAAAGUUUUACACUGUUAACUAAUAAAAGCAUUAUCAUGUGACUUUUUAAAAUAAUUAUUAUAAGUGUACAUAUUCUAUAUAAAAAAAGCAUUACACCGUUAACUAGCAAAAAGUUAUCUUGAGUGUGAUUUUUAAAAUAAGUAUUAUAAAUAUAUAAGAAAAAAUGUACCACAUAUGAUAUGGUAUCUAGUUUGUAUAACUAUGAAAAAUAUUACAUUAUAAAAAAAAUUAAUCUAAGUUAAUUUGAUUGCAUAAAUCUAACAAAACAUGGUGGUUAAGAGUAAUUAAUAAUUAUGAUAUUCUCUUUAAGUUUUCUUAUGUCAAAGUCAAAUUUCUAAACAGGAACUCUGUAACAAAUCUUUUAAAGAUCUUCUUUCUAGAAAGCCACCUUUUUCUUAACCAUUAGAAGAGUGAUGAUAUUUUUUAUAUAUUUUUUGUUUUAGAAAAAACUAUUUAAUAAUUUGUUACAGUAAUAUAAUAAUAUGAAUACUCGAAUUAACAAGAUUAUUUUUAAAUGAUAUAUUAUAUGUUAUUAUAAUAAGGUUCUACACAUUAGUUUGUUAAUUUUUACUCCAUCAUUAGGAUAAGAUUACAAAAGUCAAAUGGUUGUCCAUUAACCAUCUGCAUGACUUUGGAGUACUUGGUGAUAACCUUCAAUUGAUUAGAUAUUAGCUUGUUUCGUGUUGACUAAUGAUAGAAAAUUGUUUAUUAAUAAAAUAUAAGUAUUUAAUUAAAAUAAUAUUAUUAUUAUCAUUAUUAUUAUUAUAAAAAAACUAUUAAUUUUUUUUACCGGACAACAAAAAAAACUUUUAAUUGAUUGUAUAUGAAAAAGAGUUGUCAAAAUUAUCAUUUUCUUUUUUAGUUAUCAUAGUAAUAGACUUCCUUUUUAAGUAUCUCAUCUAUCUCGGUAACAAUAAAAACACUAUAAGCUUUUAAAAUAUAUUCUUAUAAAAAAAUAUAUAAAUCUUUGAUGAACUUAAAAAUUUGAAUUUUUGAUGGGAGGUACAUUGUAGAUACAUCUUGUUUCAAAAAUAAUAAUGUGAAAGUCAUCAAGUUCAUAUUUAGUCAUCAAUUCACUAUAAGAAAAAAUGGUUUUAAUGGGGGUUUAUUUUUAUAUUAUCAAGGGUUAAAACUUCCAUUAAGUCAUUUAUUUAGAAUUGCAGUUUUACCUCGCUAUACCAUCCUUGGGGAACAUGUUUACGAAGGUUUUUUUGAAUCUUAGGAAAAGUCUUUCAAAGUCCCUGUUAAAUACCACGAGUUUAAGAACUUUCGUAAAAUAUUAUGAUUUUCAAAACCUCCGUAAAAUAUCAUAGGUUUCAGAACCUUCGUAAAAUAUCACAGGUUUCAAAACCUCCGUAAAAUACCAUAAGUUUCAUAAACUCCGUAAAUUACCAUAGGUUUUAGAACAUUCGUAAAAUAUCAUAGGUUUCAGAACUUCUCUAAAUUACCAUAAGUUUCAAAACCUCUGUAAAUUACCAUAAGUUUCAGAACCUCCGCAAAUUACAAUAGGUUUCAAAACAUUCGUAAAAUACCAUAUGUUUCAGAACCUCUGCAAAUUACCAUAUGUUUCAAAAAAUUCAUAAAAGACAAUAGGUUUUAGAUAUGAACAUUUGUUUUUUCAUUCAUUUAUUAUUUAUGAAUUCAUGUGUUUUUUCAACCACAAUUAUUUACAUAUAUUGUAUUUAUUUAUUUAUCUAUGUUUGUUAAAUUAUUUUUCAAUAAAUAAAAUAAAUAAAUGGAUAUAACAUUCAUUAAUGGUCAUUUUAUACAUAUAUAUAACUAAAUUACAAUUUAUACAAAAAUAUAUCAAUUAGACACAAAUACAAAAUGAGUUAAAAAAUUAUAAGGAAUUAAUAAAAGACAAAUACUACUAUGAAGUAAUACAAAUGAAAACCUAACAUUGCUUACAAAAUAAGACAAAAAUCAUUUCUACAUUAUAUUAUAUUCUUCAACUAUCACAUAUAUUCCUCAAUGUCCAAAAUUUAUUCUAGUUGCACACUUUCUUGAUGAGAAACCUACAAUUGAGAAACCUACAAUAUAAACAUGUAAUAGAAAUAUAAAUCUAAAAAAUAAAAUGUUUUUCAACCACUUCUUUACUACAAUAAAUUCAGAAAAGUACAACUAAAAAUGCUAUAUUAUAUGUUAUUAUAAUAAGGUUCUACACAUUAGUUUGCUCAUUUUUACUCCAUCAUUAGCAUAAGGUUACAAAAGUCAAAUGGUUGUCCAUUAACUAUCUGUAUGACUUUGGAGUACUUGGUGAUAACCUUCAAUUGAUUAGAUAUUUGCUUGUUUCGUGUUGACUAAUGACAUAUUAAUAAUUAAUAUUAUCAAAAUGAUAUUUUGAUAAUUGUUUAUUAAUAACAUACAAGUAUUUAAUUGAAAUAAUAUUAUUAUUAUCAUUAUUAUUAUAAAAGAACUAUUAAUUUUUUUUUUACUGGCAAAAAAACUAUUAAUUGAUUGUAUAUGAAAAAAGUUGUCAAAAUUAUCAUUUUCUUUUUUAGUUAUCAUCAUAAUAGACUUCAUUUUUAACACUACAAGAAAAUCAUCAUUUAGAAAUCAAUAUUAUAGACAAAAAAUAAUUAGUUACUAUAGUAAUUAAAUUAGAGACCAUUUUAGAGACUAAAAAAUAUUGAUUUCUAAUUUAGUUUCUAUUAUUGUUAAAUAGUUUCUAAGUUGAUAUAUAUUUAGCUAUCAAGGUUUUAACUAUCAAUUAUUUAUAUUCUAAAUUUGGUAGCACCCAAUCUGCUUUUGAAAAUGACAAAAAUAACCUUACAUAAAGGAAAAAAAAAAUGUAAAUAAAAAUUACUUUUGAAUGAAACCUUUUAUCUAGAAACAUUCCAGAUUUCAAUUUCCGAAACUCAUUUUUUAUUUCCAGAAAUUUUUAUCCAAAAUGUGUUUUUAAUUUUGAAUUCUGGAUUUUUUUUGUCUAGAAUGUAUUUAUUUAUUUAUUUUUGAAUUAUAUUUAUUAUUCUGUAUUUUCAAAUCCGGAAUAUGGGUAAUUUUGAAAUUUUGAAAAAAUAAUAGGGUGCAGGUUAUAAUUGAUAGGGUGUGAAGAAAAACGUUUCAGAUUGAUAUUUGAACAUUCAGAUUCUCACAAAUUUCCAAAUUACUUUUUGAACAACUCAAUAGAUUCUCACAGAUUUCCAAUGUUCACACCUAGAAAUUAUUUUCACUCCAUUACCACGAAAUUAUAUAUAUAUAUAUAUAUAUUAAUUAACAAAAAAGAGGGAAAAUUAAAAAAUAUUAAAUAUAUUUUUUAAUUAUUUGUUUAUUAAAUUAGUUAAUUAUAUUUAUUUAUGAAGGUUUGAAAAAAAAAAGUAAAUUAUUUUGAUGAGGUUCCACAAUAAAUCUUUAUAAUUUAACAAAAGGAUAAAAAAAAUCUUCUUUAAAAUAAACUUUAAAAUUUAACAAGGUUAAAAAACUUAUUUUUAUUUUAUUAAGGUUAGAAUAAACUUAAUGAAUGUUAAAAAAAAUUCCAUUAUUUAGAAUAAACUUUUAAAAUUUAAUGAAGAUUAAAAUAACUUCCAUUAAUUAAAUCUAUUACUAAAAUUUUAUUAACAUUCACUAUAUAACUUUCGUUAAAAUAUUUUAUUUUAUUUUCUUGUGAUUCUUGCUUAAGUCCGCAUGUAUGGAUAUUGAUAUUGCAAAUAUUGAAUGUCACCUGGAUUACAAUAUGAUUUCCACUUCGAUUGAAUGUCUUAGUAAGAAAAAAUACAAAUUAUUUUACAUUGUAGAUAAAAGUAAAAUUGUUAUAUAAAAUCAUAUUUAAAUAUUUAUAAUUAUAAAAAUUUAAUUAAAAAGUACUUUUAUAUUAAAUUUAAUAGUAAUUUUUAUAUUUUAUAAUUAAUAUUAUUAUUAUAUAAAUUUAUUUUUUAUUAUAAAUAACUAUUUUUAUUUUUUCUAUAUUAUAAUUAUAUUUUUUUUAUUAAAAAUAUUGUUAAAUAUUUUUAUUACUAAACUUAUCUAAUACUUAAUUUUUUAAUAUUAUUUUAUUUUUAUUAUAUUAAAUUAUAUUAUAUAAUUGAUUAUAUUUAGGUUUGUAACAUAUAUUAUAUAUAAUAUAAUUGAUUAUAUUUUAUAUAUAAUAAUAAUUAAGCUAAUAUAUUUUAAAAUUAAUUCAAUAUUUAAACAUACUUUUAAAAUAAAACUACUAUUUUUACAAAAUAUUAUAAAAUUUGAAUUAACAACAUAAAUUAUUUAUUUUAUAUAUUUACAAAUAAUUAAUUUAUUGAAAAAAUAAAAUUAAGAAAAUAAUUAUUACUUUUAAAAAAAUUGAAAUCAAAAUGAUAACCCAAUUUCAAAAUUUAUAAAUUUUGCAUAACCUAUUCUCUUACAACAAAAAAAUCAUUUGUAUCAUUAUUUGAAUUUUGAUCUUCUAUGCAAUACAAACCACAAUAAUAACAAAGGAACUUAAAAAAAAAAAUAGUGAUAAUCGAUUAUGUAUUAAGAAACUGAAUAUCCUUCUAAAAAUCGCUUCUAAUCAAUUAUAUAUAUAUAUAAAUAAGGAUAAGAGCUUAUUUCUUGAAAAGUCACAAAUAUCGAUUAUACAAAGUUGUUAACCGAUUAGUUCUUCUUUUCUUUUUCCAUCAAAGCUUAUCUCAAUGAACACCACCAAAAAAGCAGGGAAUGUCCAUUAAUCAUUAUUUAUAUAAGUGGGUGCAAAUUUUAAUCCAUGAACUAAUUUUAUGGGAUAUGAACUAGUUUUAUAGGAUUGAGUUAGGUUUAAAAUAAUGAAUCAUUUCUAUUAUUAUGAUUUAUCCAACAUCACUUUCAAAUCAUGCCUAAUUGUAGGCACUUUCUAUCACGUGCAUAUAUGUUACGUAGAAUAAACUAAAUUAAGACAACGAGUUUACAGAUAAUUUUUUAUUUUAUUUUAUUUAUUUAUUAUCAGCAUCAAAGUAGAUACAUAAUAAUAUAGCAGAAGAUACAUCAGAAAAUAUUUGGCAUGCACACUAUCCUUUGGUUUAUUUCAAUAUAUUUACAACUUUUUGCCUUUACAGCACAUUCCCAUCAACUUAAUCAUUAUUUGGAUUUUGCCACCACCUUCUCUUUUCGAUCCUUGGAUGCCACACCAACUAAUCCAGAUGAAUCUUCAUUCACCAAAUUACACUGCAACCGAAUUUCUCCUUCAUCCCCUGUCAGCACUGAAAUACUUCCCAUCUUUGUCAUUGACACUGCAAAGUUGUCAAAGAAAACACUUUGGUCACUGCUGAAGCUAUUCACAAGGUGAAUGGUGUCAGCACCAGAAGUGGAGAAGAGUUCUUUGUCGCUCUGAAGUAGGCCAUUAUGGUUCUGGAGAUUGGAGUAGUAUUUGUUAUCGAACUUAUCAGGUGUGGUCAGAUCCAAAUUGGCGAGGUUGUCCUCAGUAGCAUCUAGGGGGCAUAUCUCACUCAAUGUUGCCAAGUAAGUGCUGUUCAGAGUUGGAUCAGGACUUUCAGUGUCGUUGAAAUUGUGUAAUCUGUUGCUGAACAAGCUGCAGUGAGCUCGUCCAAACGUAUGUGCACCUGUUCAUACUUUAAUGCUUGAUAAAUAACCUAGUUAUGGUGACUUUGUGAACUAAUUUUUGAAAUUAAACUAAGUUUUGAAUACAAGUUCUGUGAGAAAAUAUGAAUUUGAUUGAGUAUACCUGAGAGUGCAACUAAAUCAGUGGUGUUGAGACCUUGAACAGCAAAGGAUUGUUGAAGUUGAUCCAGUGUGGAGCUUGGUGCUGGAAGGUUUAGAUUAGCAAGGCUUCUGUUUGCUGUUAAGCUAUCCCUUCUUCCUAAUAGAACUGACCAUGAUGGACCUCCUCCCUGUGAAAUACAAAAAUUGAAACAAUUUAAGUGAAAACCUGGCAGAUACAUUUUGCUAACAAACAGUUUGUGCCUGGAAGAUAUAUUUAAAAUAUUAUAAUAAACUUUGUAUAAAAUUUAAAUCUUUGUAACAUUAUAAGAUCAAUAAAACUAAGACAGAUAACUUAUUUAAACAAUUUUGUAGAGUUUUUUGGAAUAAGAGUGUUAGUUGGGAGUUAAAACUUACCAGAACAGAACCUACUUCAGCUGCAAUAGCCAAAAUAUCAGCACAAGAAACUGUUUCUGGACAACUAUUUUCUACUGCUGUUUUGAUGUUAUUCACCACAUCCAAACCCCUUAUUGAAUUGAUAUUUGGAAUGGCAUCUUGUUCACUCUCUAUGGUAGCAGAGUUUUUCAGCAAAACUGAUGCAUCGCAACCCUGUUACAAACAUCAACAACCUACUUCAAACUUAAUCAUCGUAAGUUUUGCAUGUCAUUUACUUGCCUCUUAAAAGAAGUUAUAUAGUUUAAGAUGACAUAUAAGUAUACAGCACUUUCCCUUCAGUUUUGCAUGCAUAAGGUUUAGUCUAGUGAACAAGUAGGAACCUGAACAAAGCAAUCAUGGAAAUGAAGUCUGAUGAGGCUGGCACCAAUGAGGGGAUCAGUGAGGUAAGCGUUAUUGAUGACUCCAUACACAAUAGAAUAUAGCAGAGGGCAUGUUAUGUCAUAGUAAGUAGUACUCAAAUCUGCACAUGACACUGGAAACCCUAAUGUACACAACACUGCUACUGCUACUACAACCAUACGCAUACAACCCAUUUCACUGUUCUUCAAUUCUGACUUACUUUAUACUCAGAUAUCAUCUCCAUCCUCUAUUUAUAGAGAUGAAUUUGGUGCAUUUCUUUGUAUCACCACAUGAAUGGAUUCAAUAUUGAAUAAUUGUAGGACCAGCUGAAAUAUUUUGUUAAAAUUUUCACGACAUCAAACAUGUUUCUAUUACUCCUUUUCGAAAGGAAAAUUCUCAGAAAGUAGAGUGACAAAGUUAAUAUGACGUCUAUAUCUUGUACGAAAUGAUGUGCAUGACAAUAUCAAAAUUAUUAGAUAGUUUAAAAUUAUCUUAGAUUAAUCUAUACAUCAUAGCUAUGAUAACGAAUCACCUAUUAUUUUCUCAAGGAGAUCGUCAUUCAACAAAAUCAAGAAAUGUUACUGUUUUUUAACACAAAAACAAAAGUUUUAAAAUUAGAUAUAUGUACUUGCUAAGAUAUUGUAUCAAGUUUAGGAACGAUCAACAAGGAAAAAAGAUAUAAGAGUUCAUUAUUUUUGUUGCUUCAGAAUAAAUGGGGAUUGUGUAAAAACUACUUACUAAAUUUAUUUAAUAAUGAAUUGAUCCAAUGUAGUUGUAAUGAAAGUGGUAGAUAAAUGGAGGAAUAGAAGACAGGUAGGUGGGUGCAUGUACCAUGAACAAAACAUACAUAUAAGUAAUAGUUUAGUGUUAGUGAUACCAAUGUCAAUAAUGGAAACAAUUAUUUAGAGUAACAAUGCUUAUGAUAGUGAAUCUCUAGUGAUAGUAAAGAAAAAGUAACCAUAAAAAAUAAUAGGAUACGGUGGAAAUAAUUAUUUGAAUGGGUGUAAUGGUAGUAAAAAAUUAUUGUUUUCACUUUUUAUAUACAUAAUAAAGUUAAUCUCUGUUCUCACUUUUUAAAAAUUAUUGUUUACACUUUUGAUAUACAUAUACUAUAAUAAUUUUUGGUAUUCUAAGCGCCAAAUAAAUCCAAUAUUGUUAUGCAUAUAUUUCUUUCUUUGGAAUGACACUUUAAUUCUAAUAUAUACUAUUUUCUUUAUUUAUUUCUUAAUUUUUAUGUUCUUAUAUAUAGAUUGGAAAAAAAUGUCUUUUCCUUUAAUUUAAUAGUGUUAGAAUUCUAGAUCUUGAUCACUUAUCAAUUAUGUGAUCUCAUUCAGAAUGGAACAAAUACUUGCAACAAGAUUUUCAUCGCUUUAAGUUAAUAUUUAAAAAUAUUGAAAUAAUAAAUAUGAUAGAAAUCCUACAUUUCACCAUAUACCUAUUUAUAGAAGUGAGGAGUAGGAAUCCUCUUCAUAUUAUUGAAUUUGAGAUUAUCACAACUUUAGGUUAAUCUCGUCUUAUCAUCACAAUACAUAUUGAUAAGAACAUUAAUUAAUUUUAAUCAUUAAUUAAAUUUAUUAAUCGUUUAAGAUUCUCAAUCUCAAUAUGACAUCCAUAAGAGUCAUCUCUAAGGUUUAUACGACCUCAAAAAGGAAAUAUCAGCCAUAAAUUACACUCUACUAUCAUUUAAAAGAAUUUUCUAUCUAUGCAUAUAGCUUUUUUUUUGUUGCUUGGUAAGCUAUUAGCCACCGACAAUUAAUUUUAACCAGUGACCCAGUGCCACAAACGAAGUGCUCCGUAACUGGUAUGGUAUAAAUCAUCCCACCAUUUUCAUUGAGAACUCGAAUGAUACGAUCCCUUUACAAAUACAUGUAGGUGUACAUUCACCAAGCAUACUAAAGUACCAUCUUGGUUCUUAUACAUUUAAUACUAAAUAUCCAAUGAACCAUAUGUAAAAAUUAUAUGAUCAGUGAACAGAAUUUCAAAUAUUCUGUGAAACAACUCAGUCCCCGGGUCUCUUAAAGAGUGGGGAAAAAAACUCAUACAAAGCAAUCUAUCAAACAAAUGAAACUGGCAUCCUGGUUAGUGGAUCAUCAAUAUGUAGUGCUUGGUGAAAGCAUAAGCGAGCUAAUGAUUAUAGUUUGUAUUAACAUCUUCUGGGCCUCGCCUUUUCUUUUUCCCCUCUCCAUGUCUUGACCUUCUAGGUGCUUCAUCCUCACUUUCACUGUCAUCAUUCCGGAAGUUGUUCACAGCAGGAUGAUCAUCCUGGUUCGCUUUGUAACCUUGCUGAUACUGCAUAUCAUCAUCAGGUGCACCACUUUGACUGAGCAUGUCUUGACUCUUACCCUGCUCUGAUCCGGAGCCAUACCUAUCAUUUCUAUCAGUAGUUCUUUGAUCUCUUUUGGCAAGACGGUUUGUGUUCUGAGGUAGGGGUGGAGGUGGUGGAAACAUUGGAGGCAUAUUAACCGGCCUACCACCUCUUGGUGGAUUUGCCCCUGCAACCCCCAUCCCCCCCAUAAAGGGACCACGUCCAGGAUUCAUCAUCAUCCCAAAGCCACCACCUGGAAACAUCCCAGGCUGAGAAGGUCGCCCACGAAACAUCAUGGCUGCUGGGGGACCUCCAAAAUCACCAGAGAAUCUGGGACCGUAUGGUGCAAAAGCACGGGGCCCCACACUAAAAAGAUCUGGCAUACCAAAACCGUCAGGUGCAACGGGCCCAUAGGACAACCCAUCACCCAUCAUUACAGGGUUAAAGCCCUGCAUUCCAGGCAUGGGUCGGGCUCCACGUGGAAGAGGCAUAUGAGGUGGCCACAUCAUACCUCUGCCCCUACCCCUGCCUUGACCAGCUGGCCCUACACCAUGACCAAAGCUCUCAUCCUCUUCAUCACUUUCUUCCUCUUCCUCUUCUUCAUUGUCUUCAAAUGGAACAAUAUCUGGAUUUUCUCCACCAUUAUCUGGAUUCACUCCCUUUGCUUUCUCUUCUUCCCGUUUUGACUCGGCUGCAACUGAAACGGCCUGUAAAUACAAGAGAGCUGAGAUUAAUCCAAUUCUUAAAACACCUCAGUUAAAAACUGCAGUAUAUGUUUCGCGCAUCCAUCCACUAAAAUAGCUUACCAUUGAUUGAUAUGUAAUGCAUAGUAAAUGAUAAAAUAUUGCAAAAUCUGAGCAGUUGAUUUUAACAAAUUUGAACACGGCUGAUUCCCCAAACCCCAAAAUGGAGCUCCAGACAAGAGUGCUAGUAAAAUGUCAAACAUGAGAUACUUGAAGAUGGUUGCACGAGUUUUGAAAAUGCUCAGCCGAUGGCAUUAAUAUAAUCUAGCAAAAAAUAUGCAUGAUGGAACAGGGACUUUAAAAAAUUUUAAAUAAGACCCUAUGUUAUAAUUAAGUUUGAAGCAGAUCCUGCGGAUCAUGAAUCUCUAAAAUGAUUAAUGAAGUUCUAACAUAGCAUUCAGCUAGUGAGAAUCUAUUUUGAGAACUAUUUUUAGUAUAUGCAUACAGUCGAAAUCAUUAUAAUUAUAUGUACUUGUAAUAAAGAUUCGGAAGACUACGAAAACCUAAAAUGUAACUUAACCUAUUAAUUAUUUAGUCUAAUUUUUUACUCUAUCUUUACCCUUUACCUAAUUUCUAUCUAAUCGUUAAAAAUUUCAACCCCGAGAAUUAUAGAAGAGAAUAUUGAUCCACAAAAACUUAUAAAAGCCUCCCACUAUAAUGUUAUGCUACAAAACGUUGCCAUGACACUUCUAAUUAAGAUUAGUAUUUCAACUUGAGUGUUGACCAAUAUCUCUGAGAGAUUAGCUAAUCAUUAAGGAGAUUCAGGAUAAGAACUAGCAUAAAAAAUUAGGCUCAAAGUCCUCUUUUUCUAAAUUUCCUUAUAAAAAGUUUGUCCACCAUAGAUUUCUGAAUUCCAAAGGUCACACACUAAUCAUUAUGCCCUUAACUCCACCCCCCUCUCUCUCACACACGUGUGCACACACUAUCAAAGGUUGACAGCUUGGAAAAAAUGUGACUAUCGUAGCAUCUUUUAAGUUUGAACUGUGUUUAACUACAUAAGAUUGUUGAUAUACCAGCCUAUAAUCAUGUCUGAAAAUUUCUUAUUAGCAAAAAUGUCCCAUUUUAUAUCAGGUAAAACAAAUAUCAUACCAAUCCAAAGAUACUCAGUUUCUCAUUGUAACAUCCAGACCAUUUUGCCUUUCUCCCAUUAGUACAUCACGAUUAUUACCUAUUGGUUUCUAUUCACACAAAAAAAAUUAUGACUCAUAGGAGAAUAUACCAUAAGUUCACCAUCCGGCUCAAGAUAAAGCAACGAUGCCAGUUGCUCUCCAAUUGAAGGCUCCAGCUCCUGACAAUCUCUACUUAUCUGCAAUUGCAUACACAGAGAAUAUUAAAUACUAGUCAUGAACAAACUUCCCCGCAAGAUUAAUUUGUUAAGUGAAAGCUCAUAAAGUGAAUUGGAGGUAUAAUUUGGCAAAUAAACAUAACAAGGAACAAGGAAAACAACCGAUACAUAUAUAGUGCUGAAGUAUAUGGUCACACAUGGCUCAAUGAUUUAAAAAUGUAUCCGACUUUCACAAUACAGAACAUGAAACAUCUACACUAAAAUAAAACUUCAAUUAGAUUUCAGCUGCCAUAAAUUUCAGGACAUGCCAAAAAUGGUCUGUUCUUGGUCUUAUCACUUUGUGUUAUGGCCCUAUAAAGAUUUAACCUAAAGAUUAAUAGCCAAUUUUAGUUUCCACAAUCAGCAUGCAUCCGGUGUGUAACAAGAAACAGACAGUCUCAUCAUUAGGAAGCUGGUUGAUGUAGCUGACUGGCAGCUGUAGCCAAGUAAAUCAACAUUCAUUUGUUAAAUGUCAAGCAGUUAAUAAUGAUAUCAUAUCAAAUGGUCAAAAGUGACAUGACACCUACACCUAUUAUAUAUUAUGCUUGGUAGACCUAUUCCCUAAUAAGCGGUGAUGCAGAAAUGGUUACUAAAGGAACCAAGUUAGCAAAAGAUUAAAAGUUAAACAAGAAAAGAUAAAAUUCAAAGUAUAGGGUAAGAGAGAGGUAGACCAAUUAACAUUUUCAUAAGGAUCACAUCGAAAGUCAGAUGGGUCCAAUUCUUGGCAAGAAGAAAGUUUCAAAACACAACUAUUUUCUAUAUAAGAACCACUAGAAGAUUUCAUACCAAGACAAGAGUAAAGAAAGAAAACAACUAUCAUCAAGCUUCAAAUUAAAUCAUAAAAAUGGGAAAGAUAAUACCUUCACUGGUAAGUUCUCAUUGUAUGGAUUCCUUAAAUGGCGAGUUUUGUGGAAAGACAGUUCACAUAACUGCAAAUAAGAAACAUAAUUAGACAGAGUUAAUGUAGAGAAAAUUACCAUAUAUCAUAAUGCAAUUUCCAAUACUAGUUCAUGCACAAAUUUCUCCCAGUAGCUGAAGCUCAGACACAACCAUUAGCAAAGGCAACUCUAGUAAACAAUGAAAAAGAAAACUAUAUGUUGGUGAGUCAAACGACUCACAGCAAGUUAUUGGACAAUUGUUUCUUUUUUACUCUUUUUCUUUCAACCCAUGAAAAAUAAACACAAAAGAUGAAUUCCUCAAAAAUAACAACAAACUUCUUUUUCUUCAUUUUGGGUGAAAGGCUAUUUCUCAACUGUGCAACUGAGCAAUCCUAAAAUCUCAAACAAAAUAUCUCAACUUAUGCUCAAUAAUAACCACAGACAACAAUGGUAAUGGAUGAUCAAUUUGUGGUUAGAGAAUGAAUUGUAUGCCGAAUUUGAUAGAGGUUUGAAUGUUCCGAAGAUGAAUGGGGGGGAAGAAACUUGAAAUUAUGAUAAUUAAAUUGCAGCAUCUGCUGGUUAGAAUAUGAAAAUUGUGGGUGCAAGAUGUCAAAUAACUGAAGCAGAUUCUCAAAUGGAAGCUUCUUCAAUUCUGUGAUAGCCAUUAGCAUCUUCAGAAACUUGUUUUUAUACGAAUGUUUAAACUAAUGUAACUUUUAAUUCAUGGAUAGGAGCACACUAGAAGACAAUUAAUAUGGAAAUGACAAGAAAAAUAUCUUCGAAAAUCAGAUGCUGAAUAUCAGUGUUAAGAAAUCAUAAAUCAGGUAUAAAUUAACUGUUUGACUGUCAUGACAAUGAGAUACAUUACAUGACAUUAAUUCAGUAAUUCCAUCAAACUAUUAAGUAGGUUACUAAGGAAUUUUAAUUCUUCUGACAGAUAAAGUUGAACAUCCUUCUAGUUUCCAACACAUUCUCGAAACUAUUGAAGGUUCCAACAAGGCAAACCAAGUUAGAAGUCCACAACUCCCUCAAAGGUCAAGUUUUAUAUGGAGAACAUUACAGCGGUGCUUAGCAUGAAAAUAAUUUCAUAGGUUUGUCCAUCAGGAAGAGUAGGUCCAAUAUGAAAAUAGCAUAAAUCCUUAUAUAGGUUGAAACAAUCACCUCUAUGUUUGGUUGGCUCGGCACAGUCAUCCAGCAACUUAAAAUGAUCCAUUGCAAGGCAAACCAUUUUGUUUUCCCUGGAUGCUAUAUGCUUCUCAUCAAAUAAAUAUACUACCUUGGUGCUUAUCUAAAUGACCAUGAUUUUAUAGGUGAUGAUCAAUAAGGAUUUUAAGAUUCUAAAACUAUUGUUUUAAAUAUCGGAUUAUUAGGAUAAAAAUAUCUCAGUAUCUCCAUACUGAUUAGAAAAAAAAUAUCUUCAAAAUCUUCCUAUUUAUUUUAAUAUAUUUUUAUUUUCUUAUUUUGAAGAAUUUGAUUAUUACAAAUAAGAAAUGAUGAAAAUGUAAUUGAUUUAAUUAUCAUCAAUAAAAUAAUUCUUUAUUUCCUCACAUGAUUCAAGUUGGUAUCCGAGCUCCAAUCUUGGGAGCACUUUUUCUGCCACCACGUUAAUUGUGGUCACCAUUGUUUGCAAUUGCUAUUGAGGUUUGGUGGGCCAGAAUGGUAUGACUAAGUCCUCUAAAUCGUAUACUUUGACCAUGAAAGGUAAGAGUAUAUUCAAUAUUAUUGUUCCUAUCUCUUAGGCUAUAUAGAUUAUUGAUUUAGAAGCAACUAAUCACAUGAUUCUAUUUCCUGUGCUCCCCAAUUCAUAUAUCAAAAUGACUAGAUAACAACUCAUUAGAGUUGCAAAUAAUGAUAGUGUACCUAUGUUCGAAUCGAGAAAUAUAACUUUAGAAUCAUCUAUUAUAUUAAAAGACGUUUUAUAUGUCCCACAACUGACCAAUAGUCUCAUUUCUAUAAGAAACUUACAAAAGCUUUGAACUGUUCAACAACCUUUUUCUCUUCUUAUUGUGUAUUUCAGAACCUUGCCACAAGGAAGAUGAUUUUAAUUGCUAAGGAGCAAAGUGGUUUGUGUAUAUUGGAAUCCAAGGACCAAAACAAUAUAAAGAUCAUAAGUUAGCAAGUAAAAUAAAAAACAUAAAACAAUGGCAAAUUCCCAAGUAUGGCUUCAUCUUAGAAGUCUUGGACAUCCCUCAUUCAACCUUAUCAAAUCUUCUUCUCUCAUUUGUUAACUGUCAAAGCAUCACUGUGCAUCCUAUUUCAUCUGUUUGAUAAAAAUAGUAAUUUCCCAUUUUACUUAAUUUGGUUUGAUUUUUGGAAAUCUGUUUAGAAUCUAUUGCGACUAAAAAGACAAUGUAAAAUUUUAAAACAUCCCCAGAACAGCAAUUUGAAAUUUGAAUUUCCCUUUAGCAAUGGCCUUAUUUAAGUAUGAUUAUGGUGAUUUCACCCAAGACUAUUGAUAUCCUCGAAAAAAUUAACACAUGGAAUUUGUUGAAGGAGUUUUUAUACCUUCAACCAUUUAACCGAGAAGUUUCGCCCAUAAUGUGCAGUUCCAUGAGCAUAUUUCCAGUUACCCCCAGCAACAGAACCGCCAAUUCUAGAUGUCAUCUUUGCACAACCCUGCCAAAACAUACAUAACUUCAGGUUCAGGAAAUUGGCCACAGCCACGGAAAAGCUAUCUAAGGGUUCUUUUUCAUUUUAUAAAUGAAAAUUGUUAAGGGAUGACAGGAAGCAUUUGAUGAUCAUAGUGGAUUAAGUAAUCAACUAGGUAAACAUAAUGCAUAUUAGAAAAUUAUAAUUAAAAGACUAUUCCUCUUGUUGAAUUAAAUCAUCAGUAAAAGACCAAUUAACAAGCAAUCAAUAAUAUAAAACUAGUUGGGUUAAUGCAUUUCAUCAUGCCUAAAUUAGCAAAUUUAAGCAUAACAACAAAAUCAAAGAAAGAUUAUCAAUUAUCUCUCAAUUUCUCCAACUAAACCAUUGUGAUUAACUUAUCUCGGGUAUUUAAAUGACAGUUUUACAGGUUAUUUGGAUUCUGAUAUGGAACUGUCAUGAGAAGUUUCAAGAAACAAAUAAUACAUAGAUAAAUAAGAAAAAACAUGCUAGACAAAGAUCGUGGUUGAUUAAAUGUCAAAAGAAACUACUAAAACAGAUAAUUGUUCAAUAGAGAAAGAGAUGUGAUUUUUAUUGUUGGUUUGUCAGCUAAAUAAAAUACUGGCAAUUUAUAUAGAAAAUAUUAGAAGUGAUAGCAGCUUCUAAAAUCAGUCUUUGAUCUACUUCUAAAAGUUAUCCAAUAAAAAAAUAAUACUUUUUAUACAAUGCACACGAUAGAGUAGAGAACUUGAUAUGCCAUUGAAAAUUUAAGAGAUAAAAAGGCCAAAAGCAGAGCAUGAUAUGCAAAAUUAUACAGUCUGUGAUGAAACAUCCGACUUUUGAGGUUUCUAUUAAUUAAAAAGAAGUACCAAUGUCACCAACAGUAUCAUGGAAGUACUUAUAUGAAGAGACCGUGUUGAAGAUUUAAAACAUAGGUGCCAGAAAGAUAGUAUGGCGUAAUCACCAUACUAAAUAUGAAAUAUUCUCACAUUAUUUGAACUUUUUACAAAAAUUGAUAAGUUAUUUCUUAGUCAAGAAUUAAGCCUAUAGUAAGCCUGUAAGCUGAAUAUGUUAAUUUCCAGUUAAAUUGGCUAAAAAAUAGAUCAUGGCCUAAAUGCAUAAAGUUUAACAAACCUAGCCAAGUGGUAGGAUUAAUACAAAACAUACCUGGAAAUGUCUAGUACGGUUGACUGAGAAAAUCAAUAUCACAUUUUCCACAGAGUCAAAUGCUUCAUUCAGUUUGGAUUCAUUGCUCCUUUGGGUUGCCCAUACUCCUUGUUGUACAGAUAACUCCAAAUUUUCACGAUUGCAACUUUUAACAAUAAAAUACCUAAGGUUUUGGUGGGAAAGUAUAUUAGAGCAAUUCGCACUACAGAGAGCAUGUUGAUUCAACUAAAGCAAUACUUCAUAGGUUUAAAUAUUCAAUUUGAAGGUGGUGAACCCCUCAUGAAACUUAUCCAUUUUUAACUUCCAAACCAGUACAUCAUAAUGUAAUAAUCUCAUUUCAGUAAUUGGCGCUUGAUUAAAAUCAUCCAUCAGGUAGUGCUAGUUUAGACUCUACAAGAGGAUCAAUACCAUAACUUUACUUGAAUAUCAGAGACAACACAAUAACAAGUUAAGAAAACAGAGAUCUCUGACCUUUUAAUGUCAAACCAUUUAUAUAUAAAAAAAAAAACUUGCUUCUCUCCUUCAAUGUCACGACUAGAAAUCAGGACAGUAUUCAACUAUAAGGAAUGAAGUAAAGCUCCUUACAACAGAAAAAAAAAUCUGUAAACAGAAAACCAACAGUAGAAACAGCAAACCACCCUAAAGAUUGCUGAAACAAGUAAAGAGUGUUGGAUGUUCAGACUCAACAUGAGAAAAGUGUUGGAGAUGAGAUCCUAGUAGUUGUUGUUGGGCCUAUUGGAUCACCCAUUAUCGAACCAUUUAUAGAUGUCAAACUUUACACUUGCAUUGUCUAGUCCUCAACGUGUGAGGAGUGUGUUGGAGAUCCUAUAUUAAUAAUAUGACCAAAAUAAUGUAAAUAAGUAAUCUUAGAAUUUGGACUAAGGACCUAAUUCAAUUACACAAAAUUGGCAUGUAAAAUGAUGAUUAUGCCUAAGCUUUGUACGCUCUAUUUAUGCUAUACUUUUAAUUGAUAAGGAACUAAACAACACCCUUGAGGUCACAAUUACGACAGCCCUCCAAGAGGUUGCAACUAAGGCGUCCUACCAGUAAUCGCAUUUAAGGCAGCUUAGGGUUAAUUACAAUUAAGUCGACAUUCCAACACUCCUUACCACACUCUAAGCUACCAACUUAGAUUAUGGCUUUGAAGGUUUUAGAUUAUGGCAAUGAAGGUGGCUCAACAAUGGAUCUAAGAUAGGCUUUAAUACCAAAGGGCAUACCCCUCCUUCUCUUCUCUUUCAAAGAAGCUCUUGUCAAAGUUUAGAAAUUAUUCAAACUUAAAAUCAAAGCUAUCAAAUUGCAUUUCAUUCUCAACCCGUUGAAUCUUCUCUUUGUCCCUCCCUCCUAUUGGGGCUGAAGUUUCACCAGGACUUUUCUUAGAAGCAAAGAUAAGAUCCAAUAAAAAUACCACCACUUGGUGAUUGCUUUCUUUUAUUGUUUGUUUUUCUCCUUGUAUAAAUUCUUGGCUCUCUAACUACCUGAGGCUUCAUAAAUACCUUCCCAAUUAAGAGAAGGAUCAUCAUAAAAAACCAACUCAUAUCCCCAUCUUCAUUAUCAUUAUCAUAAGCCACUUGCCCCACUAACCACUCAUUGCAUCACCAAUGUCAUUCAAUAUAAUAGGGUCUAUGUCAUCCCUAAUAUUGUAUCUUUGAGCUAGUUGUUGGUUAAACUUUAUGCAAACCAAAUCAUGCAACUUUUUGUGGCCAAGUCUAUUCCUCUUUUUUUAAUGAAUUUGCAUCAUGAAUAAGUAAAAUGUUAAUUAAUUUCUUCCUACUUUCUACAAAAAAAAUCAAUAAUGAAAUAAAUCAAAUCAUGAAAAAUAAUUAUUACUUGCUUUCAAAUACACUAAAAUUGCACUCACAUCCCAGUGAGCUAGAUAUCAAGCUUAAAAUCUUGACUGCUAACUUUUGCAAGUUGAGUGGUGUGACCAUAAUUCUUUCACCAUUGAACUAUAACCAAAGUGACUUAAAAUGUAAACUUGACCCAAUUUAGAAGUGUUUAAGUGUCUCACAUGGGGUUGUGAUCUUCCUUAAUUCUUUGGCAAAGUCAUCACCAAAGAGUCCACUUCCACUCUUAUAAAGAACUUCUGAUAUUCUGGUUUAUAGCUUCUUCUUCUUUUGUUGAUUCUUUCUCGAGGCUUGAUGGGAUCUGGCUUUGUAUCUUGAGAUGACUGACCCUUUUGGGAAGUGUUUGUUGUGUCCUUAGUUAUCUGUCGGUUUAUAUCACAUGCCAGGGGCCAUAAAGUUGGCAUGCUCAUCUAUCAUCAAUGAUUGUAAAUACAUCCUUAUAUUUACUUUCAUUGUUAUUAAAAGACUUCAUUUUUGUUUUCUUGGUUUUUCCCAUUACUUCAUAUAUAUAGCUUAUAGUGACUUCCACAAGACAAAAUACGUGAACAAAAUGAGUCAUGACUUUGAGAGUAAAAACUAGAUGAUUCUAAAACAAAAGCAUAAGAAAAAAAUUUGUAACUUCCUUACACAAAUUGUACUUGCCCCAUUUAUAUGAAGUGAACAUCUUCGUCAAAUUUCAUUUCUUCUGAGGCAACCUUUGUAGUGAUAAAUAAGAGGUAACAAAUCUUGUAAGCACAUGUCUUACCAAUCCCCUCUUAUUUGUGAAUUGUCUCAACAAGCUCAAGGAACUAAAAGGGCUACAUGUGAAGCCAACAAGACUAACUGCCUCUUUGAUACUAACUUGCCUUAGUUUCUCCUUUUUUUCUCUUCUCCAUUGUAGCAGUUGGAUUUCAACAAAACAUAAACCCCUUUCUUCCACCACUAUUUCUCCCCUUAUCAUUACUAGUUGAGAAAAAAUAUAGUUCAUCUUCACUCUCAUUCUUAUCACUAGCCGCACUACAUAUAUAGAUGAGGUGGCCCGUUUUUUCUAUAAACAAUUUCCAAAGCUCUUCUCUAACAUUUUUUGGGGUCUAGUUGCACUUUGCAACAUUGCCCUUCUUUACCAUUAUAUGUUCUUUGGCUAUAGUAACUCCUCCUUUCAUAAUUUUUCCACAAUAAUUACAAAUGGUUUUGUUGAAGUUUAAUUCAUACAUCAGAGGAGAAUGUUUCCAACCUAGGUAAUUUUUGUGGGACGUUCUUAAACUGCCACGUUCAGUUGCCAUUGUAGUUGUUAGAAAAUAGGUGAUCAAAUGUUUCAAAUAUUCAAAGAAUAAUUAUUGAGUGGAAGAGAAAAAAAAUUAGGGAGGGUGUAUGGUACUAAACAAAAAGGAAAUAGAAAAUUAAAAUAAAAGAGGACUUGCAUUGGAACUUUAAGUGACGGGAUAGUGGUAGCAAGCACAACUAGACAACAAGUGUGGGACAAUGGCGACAGGACAACAAUUACAUAAAAAUGGCAAUGUGGAAGGCAAUGGCGGGACAAACAAAGACGUUACAUAAGAACAGAGGAGGCUAUUGCAACAGUGUGGAGUGUGUACGCUAUGGGUGGGGUAGUUCAUACUGAGGUGGUUGAGGUGCGUUAGGUUAAUUUUCUGUUGUAGUUGUUUGGGUUUGGGUCGGUUGCAUGGCCUAAUCCCUUUCCAAAAGAACACUAGCAGGUUGACCCAAUAUGUGUGACCUGAAAAUAAAAAUAUAAGAGAAAAAAAGAUAGUUUGUAAGUGCCUCAAGUGGGGUCGAGUCAGGUCGCGUAGACCUAAGGCUUCUUCCUUAACUAGGGGAGCGUUGUGCAGGUUCACGAUUUCUACCAUGGUCGCUCCAAACCGCCACUCUUCAAUGCCCAAUAUAGCCUUUAUGAGCCAUCUACAAAACCCGAUUCGCCACCGUCAUGUUAUGGUGGCUAAUGGAAAGUCUAUUACCAAAAUUUGCCAUCAUCGUUUUUUUGAUAACACUGAGGCUUGUCUCUACCUAAUAUGGGACACAUUCACCCUUUCACCUAUCAAAAUGAAGGUGCAUGAGGCUGCAUUUUAGGGAAAGCCAAGGGUGUCCACAAUUAAGUGGACUUUCCAACAAUCAACAACCACCACCUACUAUUCACACGAACUCCCUCUUGUGAUAUGAGGUUUGUCAAGCCUUUAGUUCCACUAAUUUUGUUGUACAAACUAAUAACUUGUUUUGGUUUGUUUCAUUCUCCAUCUAUUGGUUCUUGUGUCCUUAACUCUAUGGCUACUAAUUAGAUUACUAGUAACAAAUCUCUUUUAUCUAACCUUUCCCUUUUAGUAUUUUACCUUGCUAAAGGCCUUCAGGACCAUCUACUUAGGAACACUUUUGACUUACCUCUAACCACAACUUAUUUGUCUUUUCCGGCCCUCUCGCCAAUUACACAAAUUCAGUCAUGCCUCUUACUUUAUCUUCUAAGUGUAGAGCAAAAGAGAAAACUAGAAUAAAAAAAUAGGAAUACAAGAGCACACUCCUUGUUCUAUCCAAGGCCUACCCUCAAAAUUGUCAAAAGCCAUCUUCACUUUCCAGCCUAUCCUCUAUAUCAUUUUCCCCACCAUUAUUACUCUUAUAAUCUCCAAUUCCUGUUGCCAGUUGUCCAGUCUGUUGUUUGCCAUUACCCUCUCUCCCAAUCAAUUUCUCCACUCUUUCACUCCCUUCUUUCAUUGUAUUUCCAUCUUCUCUUUUUCUCUCCUUUCAACAGGCCUUCACUGCUCUCAGGUAUAUCUUUCUGUUUCUUUCCCCUUGUAUAUACUGUGUGUCAAUGGCAAUCAUUUUUUUCAGGUAAUAAAAAACCCUGACAAGUUUUAACAAUCAGUAGCGAAGAACUUGAUGCUUAUCCUGUUUGAAUAUUAUACUUCCAAGAUGGACUAGAAACUAUAAUGAGGACUUUGUACAGUUUACAAUUAAGUUUAAAUACUUUAAAAUCAAUAAGUGGCAAAAGAAAGUAGAAAAUAAAAUAAAUACACUAAAACGUAUAUGCGUUAUGUGUAACCAACCAAUAUUAUACAGCAUGAAAUGUAUGUGUUGACUGCCAAGUAAAUGGCAGUUUAAGAAAAACUAGCUACAGAAGGCAAAUAAUUGUAUAAACCCCCAGACGGAAAAAACACUUAAAAAUGUACCUUGCUUAUAGUAUUUAUGUAACAGUAAGCAUACUCAAAAUAUUUUACAUAGGUUGACUGAAAACUACAAGACCCUGAACACACCUAGAUAUUCCUUGAGGUAAAGGGGUAGCAGCUCUACUGGCUUGAUUAGGCUGGCCAUUAGCAACAUUUUGUAUUUGGUUCUGGCUGACCUGCUGCUGCUGAGACUGUUGAACUUGUUGUUGUGGCUGGGCAUUUCCCGACUCUGCUGGUAAUGGUUUUCCAGUCACCCCUUGAUUUGUAGAAUUAGUUCCUUGAGGAAGCUGGGAUUUUUCAGCUUGUUGGGUAUAGCUAGAACCCCUUUGUUGGAAAAAUUUGUUUGAUGAGUUAUAAUUGUAGGAAUAUAAAUGUUGGAUCUUCUGAAGGACCUCUUCAACAGGAGGUGGAGGACCAGGAGAUUUCGCAUGUCUAUAUCGGCAAUCAGGCCCAUUGGGACAAAAUCCCAACUUGUACCUGCAGAUGCAAAAGUUUUAAAAUUAGAAGCUAAUACAAUCUUAUUUAUCUUAUGCAAAGAAGUUAAAGUAAUAAACAAUUGAACUCAACAAACAUAGAAUGAAAAACAUUUUCUUAGACAAAAAAUGAAACUGGGGUAAAAACUCAAAUGAAAUAAUAGUUGUAUAGCGUAUAUCCUCCCAGACAACACUGAAAGAAAAAAAAUAGAGGACUGCGUACAUAAUCCAAGCAUAACAAACCAGUAAAUCCCUCCUAACUCUUUGAAUAUUCAUCAAAGAAGGCAACUUCGUGUAAAAUAUCAUAAUGAUGCGAAGAAGCAAUUAGUAAUGCUCCAUCAAUAACAAAUAAGGUAGAAACUUAUUUGCAAAAACUCAUUUCCCUCCAGUGAAAUACACCACAGAUUAUCACAACGCCAUAGAAUCUCACCCGUCUCUCUACCCUCAACCCCUGAUACGAGUCACAAACUCCUCCAACUAUUAUGGUCUACUAGUCAACCCUCUGCUAAGAAAUCGAGCCAAAGCUAAGCAAUCAUCCCAAAAAAUCCAACAGCUAGAAUGCAAUGUAAAAUCAAAGUAGAAACUAUAAUUCAAAUGUUCAAUCAUAGAAAGAAGAACAAAAGUACUGAACAUUUGAUCACCUUGCCCAUUCACCGCCUUCCAAGUCUCCAUCAACCAGUCUAAAACCCUAUACAAAAUAUCACUCAAUUCAUCUAAUCAAACGUCCUCGGUUAUAUAUAUAUCAAGCAACUUGGUAGUACGUACAUAAGAUUUUCUUAAACCAAUAGACUUGAGAGCACAGAUCCUUUACACCAUUACGCACAACCAAACCAGAAACAACUCACACACAAUAUGACAAUAUUCAAUCAAACACAACCAAAACUCAACAAAACAAAAAACCUUUAAAAAAUUGAAUACCAGUCUUCACAACCUAAAUAAGAAAGAACAAUACAUACACAAACAUGUACAUAUACUCAUACACUUACAUGUUACACUCCUUGAUGUCUUCAUUCGUGUGUUUAUACACGCAAUCCUGUUCUCGACACUCUCCAUAGAGCCUGAAGAAUCGGCAAACAGGCAUCCGCGCCUUGUCGUACUGGUGCAGAAACCCACACGCGUCGCCCUUCAUGCACAGGCUGCGCAACCAGUGCCGGCAUACCGUCUGACGGAAGCUCCGCCGCCCGGGGACGUUGACGGCCGCGGGUUCGGUUCCGGAGGGGGUUGGGGCUGGAGGACCACCGUUGGACACGGCGGAAGCGGCAGCGGAGGAGUCGUGCUGGACGAGCGGGCCGGAGGGAGCGGCGGCGGCGGAGGGAGCGGUGUCGAGGCCACCCUCGAAAUCGAAGCUGAGGACUCCCUCGGAAUCCUCCAUUGGAAUAGAAGAGUGGAUUUGAAGCGAUUAGGGAUUUGAAAGGGGCGUGUGAAUGUGAUGCAUUCGGAGGCGACGGAAGAGUUUGUCACUGUUGUGGAAGAAAUAGGAGAGACUGAAACGGAAAAACUCAGCUUGCUGGUUCCUGAUUCUGGAGGGCGAAAUUGGGUUUUUGUUUCUUUUGUUUUAGGUUUUUCUUGGGUACCAUAUUUUUUCUUUUGUUUUAUGUUUAAUAAGAAUAAAAAUGGUCUUGAUUUAUAUGGCUAUUCUCAAAGUUUGGAGUUGUUUUUUGAGAUGAUAUUUUUGUGUGUAAUUUUUGGAUGAAUGAAAAUCACAAUGAAAUAAGAGGUAUUAAAAUUACUUCAAAGAUUAAAUCAGUGAAAACUUAGGAUAAAAUGUAUUAGUAUAGUAUGUAUUAUAUAAAAUAAUAUUUGUCUUAGAGUCUUUCCUUUGAGUAACAUCUUUUGUUUAGCUCUCUUUUCGAUAAAUUUUAUAACAACUAAAAUCGAAAUUACUUAUUUAUCAUGGAUAAAAACCAUUAAAAAUAUCCACAACAUCGCAUUUCAAAUAUAUUUGUCAAGUAAUAUUUCAUAUACCGGACAAAACAAGAAUCUCUAAAAAUAUUAGCUUAACUAUAGAAAAUAACUAAAGAAUAUGAAUUCACUUUCUGAUUGAAAUAAUGUCGAGCUAUAUUUUGCUAAAUCGGUUAUACGUCUGAACAAAUUUUAUCAGUCUUCUAAUCGACCACAUCCACCUCUCCGUUGAAAAAGGUUGUGUGCAACACUACGUAACCUCAUACAUCCACUUGAUCUCCCAUAAAACCAACAAGACAGCCAUCAAAUGACUUAAGCCGGUUUAAAAGAAUUUGGAGUCAGUGGUAGGUAUCCCAAAACAUCACAUCAGUUAAACUUCUCUGAUCAAUCAAUACCCAAUGUACAUUACGACCCAUUGUGAUGAGUGGUAACACCACAGGAUCAUUCUCGUGAGAAAAAACAUCUCCCAAUUCAGCAGGUGUAAUAGAGAGAGGGAAUCAAAUGAGGCUUGGGCGCAUGGAUUUCUAAGGAAAAAAUUGCCCUAGAAUAUCAUUUUUGGUUGGACGCCGAGGACCCUCCCCCGAAAAACCCUCUUGUUAUAGUAUGAAAGUCUCCUAAGAUCGGAGCUCCGUGGUCACGUCUUUUCGGCUAACCUUCAUCUUCUCGUUCCUUCUCUUGAGGAUUUUGAAGAUACUUUGUUAAAUAUCCUCUUUUAACUAACCCAACAAGCUGAUAUGACAAAGUCAAACAUUGCUCAAUAUCGUGACCGCGGGCUCGUUGAGACUCGCAUCAAGCUUCAUUUUGACUUCCCAGUGUGCAAUCAAUUUUCUUCAGGAAUUGCAACUUAUCAACAACAACUUCUUUUGUCAUUAGUGACUUAUGCGAUGUGUUAAACUUUAGACGAGGCAAGUCAUAUUUUGGUUGGCCCUUUCUUGCACUGUCUUUCUUGGCCACAAACAAAAUAUAUCUAUUAUCACAUCGUCGACCAGAGGUCGUUUCAUCAGUCUUCGAUCCGAUGAUCUCAUUCGUUGUCUUUGUAUCUUCCUUGCAUUUGUUGUUCAUUCGCUUUUUUUUUCUUCGGAUCGCCUCCUCUGCCUUAAUAUGGGUUGAAGCUCAUUCUCAUACUUCGGCCAUAGACUUCGCUCGGUUUCGAAGAAAUGAAUCACUAAAUGGGUUGACUCAAAGUCUUUUCACGAACGCAUCCACCACCAUCUUUUCAUUUGGGUUUUGGAGGCUUACCAAAACCGCGCAUAAAUGGUUUAGAUAUUCUUUGAGGGGUUCUCCUUCCCGUUGUCUUACAUCGAAAAGGUCGACCAAUUGAUGUUAUUUUACUUUGUUGGUCGAUAAUUGUUCCUUCAAUACCCUGGAGAAUCCUUGGAAUGAGGUAAUGUAACCAUUUGGGACUCCAAUGAACCGUUGAAGGGUUGUCAUAGUGAACAUGCCCAUGAAUAUAUUACAACGUACAGCGUUCGACCCGCCAAAAAUUAUAAUUUGGACUCGGAAUGCUUUCAGAUAACUUUUUGGGUCUUCCAUCCUAAAAAAAGUUUGUUAGAGUUCAUUUUCUAGUGUUCCUCAUGUUGUUUGGCUAUUGAUUUUUGAGUUUUGGGUGUUAGGGUGUUAGGGUGGUGAGCAUGAUCAGUUUUACAUGUCCCCAUAGUAGUAGUCGCCAAAUGUUUUCACCAAGCUAAAGGUCGGAAACUUGGAGGUGAUUUCCAACAUGAUCUCUUUACAAAUGUAGCUCCUAAAUGUGUGGAAGUCACAAUGAGACGAAAGAGACUCUACCGAUAGACAAUACUCUAACAAUAAAACAAUAUUUACAUUAUUAUUGAGAGUUUUCCCAUUUUAUAGCAUCUUCUGCUCAUUCUUUUUUAAGAAUUAUAUAACAACUAAAAUCUAAAUCACUCAUUCAUUAUAUAAAAAUCAUUAAAAAUACUCACAUCAUCACAUUUUAAGUAUAUUUGCCAAAUAAUAUUUCAUAUAACAACAAAACAAAAUUCCUGAAAUAUUAACUUAAUUAUAAAAAAUUACAAAUUUAUCUUCUCAUCAAAAUAAUGUUGAGCUCGAUGUCAGCUAACCGAGCUAUUCUAACGAGUCUCACAUGGCCAGUACAAUGGCAACUCCGAUAAAAUAGUCGGAAAAUUUUAAAUUCUUUAAUAUGGUUUAUAACUUAUCCUCUGUGCUGAGUAGAUACUUUUAUCUCUCAUUUUAAGAUAAAAACAUUUGAUAACUUAAUCUAGAAAAUCUUAUUUAAUUUCUAAUUUUGUUUGUAUUUGUUAUUUCUUAUAUUUUUAAUUAAUUGAAUAUUUUUUUAUAAUAUUUUAAUAACUAUGUUAGAUCUAGAUUCAAUUCAAGCAAAAUAAAAAUAAAUAAAAUGUAAAUAUAUUAUAUCUAGUACUGAAUUCAAGAAUAAAUAAAUAUAUAAAGCAUAUAUAGAAUUAAAUAUUUUUAUCAAAAUUGCAUAUUUUCUAAAAUAAUGGUACUUAAUAUCUCUAUCUUUAAAUAAAUAAUCAAAAUUUUGGAUUAAACAAAAAAAUAGAAGAACCAAAGUUCUAUUUAAACUUAAUUUUAAUUAUUUGUCAAAAUAUUAAAAAGGUACACAAAGAAAUCGCUAAAUAAGUCUGAUGUUUAUAAUUUUUUUGUAACUUCAAAAUUUUCUGUGAAUAAUAAAGAAUAUACUCAAACGAGUGUAUUAAAAGAAGAAAUUACUGUAUAAUAUCAAUUAUUCCAACUUGUUUUUCUGAGGCUUAUAACUAAGUUUUAUUAAUUCUUAUUUAUAAAUUAAAAACUAUAGUAGAUGUCUUAAAAAUUAACCGAAAUAAUAAUCAAAUGAUAAUCUCAAAAUUGUAAAAUUACAAAUUAUAAUAAGUUGUUGAAUACGAGGGAGGAUAAACUGAGUGUUACUAUCUUUAGGCGUAGAUUUAAGAGACAAACUCUGUUCACAAAAACAAAUUAAGUCUUGUCACUAUAAAACUGGGUUUCUAAACAAUUUUAAUAUACUGACAUAUUUUACAGACAAUUUUAAUAAACUGAAUUUUAACACCUCAAACGAAAAAACAAACAUAGUAAAGAAGCUUUGUUCCUUCACCUCAAUUCCUUUCUUCAUGAAUACUUUAAAAAAUAUCUAAAUUACCUUUUAUAGUUUUUAUAAAAUAUUUUUUAUAAUUUUAGAAUGUGAAAUACGAAGAAUCAAUUUGUAAAAUCUAAAAUCCAAAAUUUAAAAUUGAUAAUUUAUAUUUUAAAUUGCGUAAUCCAAGAUACAUUUUGAAUAUAUGAGCUACAGAGAGAAAUCAUAGGAUGCACAAAGAGAUCGUCCAUAUUUUAUAUCUAUCAAGAGGCCGGAUCCAAAAUAAAUCCAUUUUCAGGAAUUACUUUCUGAGUGUUUCUUCCCGUAUCUCCAUAUGCUAUUCUUUCACCUCCAUAAAUUUUUUAUAUUUUAAAAAGUCUCUUUAUAAUAUUUCAGAUUAGAUAAUUCAGAAGUCUUUUUUCAAAUUCGUAAUUAACUUUCGAAUUAUGUAAUCCAAAUUUUUUUUUCCAAAUUCAUGAUUUCGGAUUACAUAAUCCAGAAGUCUAGAUUAGCUUUCAGAUUAUGUAAUUCAUAAGUUUUUUUUCAAAUGCGUGUUCGGAUUACAUAAUCUACAAGUUAUUCUGAGAUUCAGAUUUUUGGAUUAUAUAAUCUAAAAUACUAUUUUUUUAAAAUAUAUUAUGAAUUACAUAAUCCGUAAGUCAUUUUUAAAUAUGAGAUUAACUUUCCAAUUAUGUAAUCUAAAAUAUUGGGGUGCCACAAGAAAGAUAAAAAAAUAUAUGGAGUUACAGGAAGAAACAGUCUUACUUUCAGUCCCUAAUCAAUUGAACCUUCUCUCCAUUUUUAUAUGAAAUGAAAAAAACAUUUUUAAAUAAGAGUGGGAGGUACAGAUAAAAGAUACUUCCAAAAUCCCCUUUUCAAAAUAUGUUUCUGAAUUUUAAUUUCCAUAACACUUUUCUAAUUCUGAAUUUUCUUUUUUCAGAUUUUUUUUCUGAAUUUUCUUAUUUUCGAAAUCUAUUCCAGAAUUUCAUUUUGUUUUAUAGAAUGUAUUUUUGAUUCCAGAUUUCAUUUCAAACAUGAAGGAUAAAUUUGGAAAUUUCAAAAAGACAUUAUGCGCAGGUCACAAUUGAUAAGGAAGAAAUUGUCCAAUUUCUUUUAGGGAAAAACCAUUAGCAUUUCUAUUUUACUUUAAUUAAGGAAAAUAACAAUAACUAUUGAACCCAUCAAAGCUUCCCACAUAGAAUGCACCAAAUUGUUACAGUCGCCCGAAAUUGUCUUUUAAGUUGUUUCAGGGACUAUGGCGGUAUAAUAUAGGAAUGGGCAGAAUAAAAACACUUGGUAUUUAAAUCUGAUACUGUAGCAUACUAAUUAAACCGAAGUAACUUAAAACAUCAAAAGAUUCAAAGACUGAAUGAAGUGGAAAGAUAAAAUUGACAAAGUAAUCCUCCAAAACUGAAGGAAAAGUGUACACUUAACCCACCGUUACCUUUCAGUACCAAUAUCAGGUACCAUCUCAAUAGCCUGUAAUAUCUAUUGCAAUUUAAACAAAUUCUAUAACAAAUGAAUACUUAGUAAUCAUAACUACAACAAUUAUGUCAUAUAAUUAACAGUAAAUUAUAUUGUACAAUCUCAAAUACAAUCCAAGAUUCACCAAUCUAUUCCCAAGUCUCUAGAAACAAAGAGUUUGUCAAUGUAUUGGAUUAGAGGUGCUGAUGCAGUGACAUAACUUUGCAUGUGAACUUUUGCUGACGCCUCUGAAGCAAAGAUUACAACAACAAAUACAAAAGAAAAGUGAACAUCAUAAUCACAUCAACUUCAAAUUACUAGACAAGUUUGAAUAAUAUAAUGUUUGACGAUGACUUUCCCUUUUCCUACUUUUGUACACUGGCUUGAUUUACCUUUGAGAAAGAACGGUAAAAAGCAGAACCACAAGAAACAAUAUGAUGAAACAAAUAGAAAUAAUAUCGUGUACAUUUUAACCUUUUAUGCUUCUACAAGCUGUUAAGAACAUAGUAUAUGUUUGGAUUUCUGUUAGAACAUUAAUUUGAGUUGAAAAGAAAAAGCAAUUCAUUGUAGUUUUUAGACCAACUUGAGUUUGUGGUAAAAUUUUGCUUCUAACUAGAUCUAAAAAAAAGUACCAAACAUAUUGGCACAAUAUUCAAUAAAAACUGAAAGUUGAUUUGAAUGCUCCACAACUGAAAUCCAAGCACACUCAUAGACGUGUGGCUACAAAGUAACGUUGGAUCUUAAAGAGGAAAAGCUAUAUCAUCACAUCACAAUGCGGGUGGUAGAUAUAUUACUAUGCCACAAACUUCAAGGUUAAACUAGAGAUGCAACUGCUAACUUAUAAUAGGCAGGGUAAAAUGAUUAACCAUUCCUGAUUCAUCAUACAUAGAUUUCACAUAAAUGAUAUCUCUAAAACCAACUACACUUUAAUUUUUUUUUCAGGAUUUAAAUUCCAAUAAAAGUGUGCAAGCAAGCCAAAUCCUCUACUUACCAUCUUCAUUGAGUUUCUUCAAAAGUUGUUCCUUCGUAGGAAGGACAUACAUUCCAGCAGCAACAGCCUUCCUGAUUGCCCAACCAUGGUGGGGUGCAAACACCUGAUCAUAAGCUUUGGAAGCUGGAUCCUUAAGGGAAUUAUUCCUGCCAAAAAAGUCAUCCAGUAACUCACUCAUAUACUAUCAGGUCUAAUGCCAUGCGUUUAUUACACAGAAGUAUUUGCUGACUUAACAUAAGAAACAAACUUUUGCUAACAUUUACCAACAAUGCAACCCCCCUCCGAACAAUAAGGCUGUGGAUAUAAAAAAAAUGGAAAAUAUUCUCAAUUUAAUCAAUUGCUAUUAUUUUUCUGUUUCAUGAAACUGAUCGGGAGUAUGCAACUGGUCACUAAUGGUCAGUUACAAAGGAAACACAACAGGUAAGACAAUUAGAUCAGUUACCAGCCUUAACAGAUUGCAACCAUUUUUUAUGGAAUGAACAUCGAAAAUGACAGGUAUGAAGAACAACCAUAAAUGAACAUUUAGUUCAACACUUAACAGAUUCUUUUAAAGGAAAAGCACAAAUUUUAGGCACCACCAACACGGCCAAUAAGAUCAAGGUGUUACAAAGUUGAAGAUUGGACACACAGCUAGGCAGGCCUCCUACUUUCCUCCCAUAUUCUACUGUUCAGAAACACAAACUAAAUAAACAAUUGAAAAUAAGUGGUAAAUAUGGAACUUUUAUUCCUUAUGCCUUAAGUCAUAGAAAGCAAAAGGGAAAGACCUCAAUCGUUACUCUUCUCUUUUCUCAUGGAAGAAAGCAGCUUACCCUUCAGUUUCAUUGCACUCUAUUUCCACUCUUAGGCAAGGUUCUAGAAACGGUCCACAAUCAAGAUUUUUGGUGUCUCCUUGACCAUAUUACAACUGCAGUCCCGUUUCAGCAAAAUCAAGGACGUGACCAAGCUACAACCACAACUUAAAACCUAGCUCUUCAAUGUCUUAAAAUUAUUCAAUGGAUAGCAGCAUAUCAAACGUGGAAUUCUUUAGUCCUAUUGUUUUAGUCAUACAAAGCAAAAGGGUAAGACCUCAAUUAUCACUUUUCCACAUUGACUAUUGCGUACCCGUGGAUGAGUAAUGGAAGUUACUCCUUUAUUUUCAUUGCACUCUAUUUCCACUCCUUUGGCAAGGUUUUAGAUAGCAGCCCGCAAUCACAACCACAGUUGCAACAAUAAGGUUUUUGAGGUCUCUUUGACCAUAUUGCAAAAGCAGUUGCAGUCCAUUUAUAAACUAAAUUUCCAAAUAUCAAGCAUCGCGACUAAACCACAACCACAAUUUAAAAUCUCGCUCCUUAGUGUCUUAAAAUGAUAAUUCUUAUUCCUCACAGUUUCAUUCAUAUAAAGCUAAGGUGGAAGAUCUCAGUCGCCACUCUCCUCUUUCCCAUGGAUGAAAAACAGAAUCUAUCCCUUCAUUUUCACUGCACUCCAUUUCCACUAUCUGGCAAGGUUAUGAAAACAGUGAACCGCAGCAAUUGUGAUGGUAAGGUAAUACCAAGAUUUUGGAGGUCUCGACACCACAUCACAACUAAAAUUGCUACUGUAACAUCAAGGUUUUGGAUGCCUUACCUACCAAGUCGCAACCUAAAUUGCAGCCACAAUUUUCGAUAACAUCAACAAUGACAAUUACGGUGUCUUAAUAAAAUUGUUCAAAACACAAUGUAGCAAAGUUUAAAUAGAAGAAAUUAAGCAAAUAGUAAACCAGUGAGUGACGCACAUACUCAGUAACUAGAAUCUGCUCAAAGAGUACUCUGACCAUGUCAAGUCCGCGCUUCACUCUGAGAAGAUUCCGCGUGUGGCUACCUCCCUUCUUGACAGUGCCACCACGGACAUCCAGCUCAAUCAGAGAGUGUAAGCUCUGAAUAGACUUCGACGCCUCAGCCAGAUCAUGAACCUGCCAUCACCAUAUCAAACAAUCAACCACGAUCCAUUCCAGAAACUGUCACAACAAACAGCAUCGAGUGAAAAAUAAAUAAUAAAACGGUUUAAUCGAACAAUCCUGAGUGACGGAGUGGAAUACCUUGGCAACGUAAUCCAUCUCGGCGAACUUGAAGGCGACGCCCAAGCAACCAAAGAGAGGGGAGACGAGAGCGCAGGCAUGGGAGAAGGGAGCAACCUUCACCUCCGCACUCGGCGAAUCGGCGACGACGCUUGCGAGGUCCUUGAAUGCCUCUGCAAUUCUCGGCAGAGUUCUGUCACCAUUUCCCUCUGCCAUCCACAACGAUGAUCCUUCUCUUCGCACUCUUCCUCUGUUCGGCUCAAUUCCUUCGUUUGCUUCUUCGGCUUGUUCUUGCAACUUCUUUCUAUGCGAUUGCUUCUUCCAAAGGGUAAAGUCUGCUUCACCUACUUCAAUUUUACAUGGAAUCUCGUUUUAGUUUUUAUGCUUUUAAAAAUACGAUUUUAGUUUUGUAUUUUUCAAAUAAGAACAUACAAUUAUAACUUUUCUUUAAACAAAUGUUUAAAAAACAUCUCAGUUUAGGAAAUGAAAUGAGGAUUAAUCCUUAGAAUUUUUUCCGAUCUUUAUAAUUUUUUAUCGAUUAUGAAUAAGCAUGUUUUGAUUUCAAAUUCAUUGAAAUGUCGUAAUGGGUCAAUCAUAUGUAUUUAAUGUAUUUUCUGUUAUCAAGUUCAGAGUAUAUUUAUCAAUUAUUCCAUCAAAGAAAUUAUUUAUUUUCAAAUUCUGAAUUUCGUCAUAAAUUUAUUUUUAAAAAACGUCUUAAUAUUAUAAGAGAAGAAAAAUGUAUUUAAAAUGUACUUCAUUUUUAUUUCUGAACUAUGUGAAACUACUGACCCUAUCAUAACAAUAUCCAACACAUUUAAAAAAACAUUUCUAAAUACUUAAAAUUUGUAAAAGUUUAAAAAUAAUUAUAGGAGCCUGGCCUAAGCUCCAUUUAGGUCACGCACUGAAUACAUCAAACAAAAAUUCACCAAAUUCAACUUAUAUCAGAAUUAUUUAAUUUAAUUUAAAUCAUUUUACAGAUUUUUCAAACAAAUUCAUCACAAAAAGGAUGCUAGUGGUGUGAUAAUAGCAUGUGAUUUUGAAUAUUUGAGUUUGGUAUUGAAUUCUCCAUGAAUUCAUAUAUGUUCAAACAAAAUUAUGAGGGAAGAACUGUGUUUCGCUUUUUUGUAUUUCUCACGUUCUUAUGCACGUUGAACAAAAUAUCACUAUCAGAUAGCAUUCACAACCAACAAUGCAAUGCAAACACUCAAAGUUAGUAACUAACUUUGUAUGUUUUAAUUUUAGGUUAAUACAGGGACAAAUGAAGCAAGAGAAAAAGAAGAAAGCUCAACAGCCCAAAGUGCAAGCAUGACACUAUUUUUGACGAGCAGAUUGGGAUAUAUUGUAGAUGGUGUGGUUGGAUCGAGACUGAAAUCAAAUAUAUCACGCCACCAUUUGUAAGUACUGUUUGGACUUGAUGAUUAUUUGUAGAAAAAUAAUUUCAUUACUUUUGGAUGUUAAGUGUUAUUAUUUGUUGAACUAUGAUGAUACACCACUAUUGUUAAGUAUAUAUGUGUUUUUUUCUUAUUUAGAAAAGAAAAAACAGGGAUUGAUUGCUGCUGCAAAAACCAUAGGACUUAAAUAAGUUUUUGCUACUUUGUGUUUUGUUCUGAUUUGAUGUCAUGUUUUAUGAAAUCCAUAGGUUGAUAAAAACUACUGAAGUACGGGUCAUUUUUGGGGUUGUGCUUAAUACAGGUGGAUUCUAAAAGAUAUGGUGGUAGAAGGGUGGCAACUGAUGGAAGUAAUAUCUUGAAAUUAGAUAGGACUCUGUUGAAUGAGUCUGGUGAUGAAGAUCAAACUGCUGCUGCUACUGAAGAAGAUGUUGCUCCUGCUGCUACUGAAGAAAAUGCUGAUAUGGAAGCUGGAAGAGAUGGUGCUGGUAGUUAUGAAGCUGGACAAAAUGCUGGUGAGCAUCACAUCCAUGACAUCCAUGUCACCCUGUGAAAGGUUGAUAUUGAGCAAAAUGAACAGUUUUGUGGUCAACAAAGGAAUCACCAUAAAUUUUGUGUAUCUCGCUUAAGAUUUUGAUAAGCAAAUUGAAGCUAUCCAAAAUCAGCUCUUUGGAACUCCAGUAUGGGAAAGAUGAUUGAAGAUUUGUUUUAGUCUUAAGUCUUUUGUUGUUGUUCGAUUUAUGAUGAACAAUCUUAUAUUUGCUGGGUUUAUUUUGUUUGAACAAUUUUAUAUUGUUAAAUUGUUUUUAUACUCUUUUAUUCUAUUUGUAAAGACAAACAGGGGAAGAAUAUGUUGGUUUAUUUGCUAUUUGAAACUGACUUUUGUGUUGAUAUAUUGUUGUGCAUGAAACUCUAAUUUUCACACUUACUUCAUUGGUUUUUCACACUGAUUUGAUUUUGUGGUUUUUCUUUUAUGAAUACAUAUCUUUUUUUUAUUAUGUUUCGAUGAGGUGGGUGUUCCUUAAAAAUUAUGAGUGUUGUUUAAGAAGAUACAAUAGGAAGUAAAUGUAAUUUUUUUAGAAAAUUAAUGUAUUUUUCCUUUUUAAAAUUGUGUUAGAACCGUAUUAGAAUUGUCAUAAAUCUAACAAAUACUUUUUGAAUUGGACACUUCACGGAUAUGCGUGUCAUACAGGUGUCAUACGAGUGUCGGUGUCCGAUACAAAAAUGACACCGACACACCAUUUUGAAAGGAGUUUUCGAGCUUUAUACAUUGUUAUUGAAAAUAAUUUAAAAGCAUUUUCUAAUAGAUUUGGUGUGUGUCCGCGAUGUUGCUUGAUCGGACCAGUGGUGCCAAAGAAGUGCAGCACGAACUUGGAGCCACCUGGUAAGAAGAAGAAGAAGAAGAACCCAAGAAACAGAAACGGGACCCUAGCACAGUGAAUGAAGAAAAGUAACAGUACACGUGUUUGAAGAGAAAAAGGAAUUCAGAGAUUAUUAUUAUUAUCUGAUAAACAGAAAGAAGGCACAGAGAAGAUAUAUACAAGGUGAUGAGGUUCAGAAUAAUAGCUAAAGCCCAAAGAGGCCCAAAGCAAAUGGCCCAAAAAAAAAUAAAAACUAUUAUACUUAACAUUUUCCUUUUCUUUACAAAAUAAUAAAAUAUAUUUUUCAAUCCUCUCUAGUUCACAGAAAUUACCCAUAAUUAUGUCUGAAUUGAAUGCAUUAAGGAUAAAUAAUAAAUGAAAGUGGUACGUAGUAGGAGAACACACGAAACCUCCAAAGAGACAAAUUACUUCAAAAAGAAAAUCACCUAGCCACGUUUUGUCACCGAUACAUCAACUUAAUCCAAAAUUAACUCUUUAAAAUUGUAACUAACACUUCAAUUUCUAAUUGUGUGAAUAAUGGUGGGGUUGUAGUAAUUAAUAUUACAUUUUAAUAAACUAAAAAUAGUGAUGGCUGAUAGCUAAUGGUAGGAUUGUAGUAAUUAAUAUUUCCAUUAAUUAUUUAUUUGGUCACCAAUACCAUUUUCCUUAUGACAAAUUCAACAUGAAUUAUUCUCUCUAUAUCUUUCUUCUUAAUUAGCUGUAGUUCAAGUUUUUUUAUUCAUAAUCAAGUUGAAUUUGUAAAUUAAGUCAUUCUUUAAAAAAAAAUAAACAAUAAAUUGAAAGAAAUUUAAAAGAGAGGUGGAUCAGUUGAUAGACAAAUUAAAUAAAACUUAAAUUAAUAUCUUUUUCAUCUUAUUUAUAAAAAAAAUAACAAUACAUAUAAAUGAAAAUAAAAAAAUUAAAUAGAGUAAAAAUCACUAAAUUUUUUAUUAAAAUCUAAUUUUCACUAUUAGUGAUUAUUGCAAGAGAAGACAAAAGGUUGUAAAAACUAUUGAACUUCAAUAAUACUAACAGCCCGGUAAACUGACCAUUAAUACAAUAAUAACGGUAGUUUAAGGGUAAUGAAUUAGAAUUAAUAAUAAUAAAAUCUGAAUUAAUAACAACAUCCUCCCUUAAUUCUGAUUUGGAACAACCUUCGUGCCCAACCAAUGAUUUAGUGAUAUUUAUCUGCAAUCUGUUCUGAUCUAAAGUAUUCCAAUUUGAUCAUGUUCUUCCCAACUUAUCUUGUAGGAAGUCGAAUAUCAAUGUGUUUACUUCUUUGAUGAAAAACCCUGAUUUUUUGUAAGAUUAAUUGCAGAGACAUUGUAAACAUAAAUCUUAAUAAUUGGAACAUCUAGAUUAAAACCAAUUUGAGUCAUGAUAUGACCUACAACUUCAGGUUGAAUUACAGCUUCAGGUUGGACUGCAGUGCUUCAGGUUGAACUCCAGGUGCUUCAAGAGUGAUUCCAUCUUCCACAUCAUCAUUCAAAAUGUAAAUAUAUCGUUUUUUUUAAUCCAUUUCAGUUGCUGCAUUCCAUUGCCAUUCCUCAUCUUCUUAAGCAUAAUUGGCAUCAUGAUUAUCACCUUUUGAUCUGCACUCAUUUGCAUAAUGGUUGCGUUUAUGACAUUUAUAACACCACGUACCCGUCCUUUGCCUCGUGAACUACCGUGUGUUAUGAUAGGAGCUACCAAUUAAGCUUGUGCUUGUAAUUGUAAAGCCGGUUCAAUUGGUUUUCAAUCUUAUUAUCAUUAAUUCACUGCUCAUGCGCUCGUAGGGAACCAGACAAUAACCUUACUGUCAUCGUUAAAAUGUCAUUGGCCUCUUCAAUUGCGGCAACAACAUGUUCAAAUCUCUGUGAGUUAAAGAUCUCAAAAUCUUCUCAAGAACUUUAUUUAUAUAUACAUCAACCGUCUUUGUGGUUUCCAUCUGCAGCAAUUCAUAUUGGCGUCUUAGGCCUUUUGAUCUUGUCAUCACCUUUAUAAUUGGUUGACAAAAUUGUCCAAGCCUCUCACUGACAGUUGGUGCUCCUCAAACGUCUCGUCAUUCAUCCCUUGAUGGAUUAGAUACAAAGUCUUAUUGUCCUUAUUCUUCUGAUCACGAUGCGCCUCAGUUGCAUUAGCAGCUAAUGCAGACACUCCACUAUCAACGACAUCCCAUAAUUUAUGAUAAUCAAACAAAAACUCUCAAAAGGUUGUAGAAACUAAUUGAACGUAAUUGCACAAAAUUGCAAAACUGCUGAACUGAUCUUAUUCAAUUCGAUUUACUUCAAUAAUAUAUAUAUAUAUAAUAAUAAUAAAAUUAUAAUUACUGGAACCUAUAAGAUAAGAAUACUAACACACAGACCUUCAAUAACGAUGUUUAAGAGUAAUAAAUCAACAUUUAAUAAUAAUAAAAUCUAAAUUAAUUAUCAACAAUUAUGACUCACAGUGGUUCAUUAAAUGUUUAUAUAUGAAAAUUUUAUUAAAAAAAUUCAGUACCACCUCAAACUGAAAAGCUUUGAUUUGUUUUCCUAAUUUAGGUUUUGGACGUUACUUUCUUCUAAAACAGCGUAUGUUUCUGUUGAGUUUUCAAGUUAGGAAAUUAAGACUUGUUGUGUUUAGUCAUUUGAUUAUUUGAUUUUUAGUUACCCUUUGUGCAAAUAAGCAAAUAGACAAGACACCUCCAUUUAUAACUCUCCCUGUAAAAAAAAAUAAAAGGACAAUGCCUUCUCCUAUGCUCAACUUAUGUCAUCAAUGGAAAGCACUAUUUUCCAACCACAUUCAAUUUUGGGUCACCAUUUUUGUUCUUUUCUUAAGCGUGCUGUGAGUAAUGUUAGGGGAGACUUUUCUUCUAUGCAGAGCCUCUCACACCAUAAUUUCCUUCUGCAGGUAUCUAUACUAAGAAACAAUUCAAAAAAUAACAAUAUGUAUAAUUAUUAACUUCUUAAAAAUAAUAUAGUUAAAUAAAAUCAAUAUAAAAAUUUAAAAUUAUAAUUCAUUUCAUCGUCUUUUCAAAAUAAUAGUAUGAUUUUUCUUUUUGUUUUAUAGUAAAAUAUCUUAAUUAAAUAAUACAUUUUUAUUCUCAUUAUUUUAUUUUAAUAUAGUUUGAUUCAUUCUGUUUUAUUCUUUAUAGUCAAUCCAAAUAUACAUUAAGAGCAAUGUUAUAUUUUUUAUAAAUUAUAUUACUUUAUAAUAAAAGAAUAAAUGUAUUUAAAUGUUUUAGAACGUAAAAGAAUUACAGUAGGGAAAUAUGAUAAAGGGGAGGGAUUUAAAAUUAUUGUUUUUAGUAAAACUAUAACCUGUACCAAAGUUUAUGUUGGAAAAAUUGCACCAGAACACGUAAAAGUUUGUGUUAAUAAACACUUCAAAUUGUUUAAAUUUUAUUUAUGAUGGCAAUUCCCAUUUUAAAUUGGUAUUUCUAUUUUAUUUUAUACAAUGGUGAUAAUAUGGUGGGGUUGUAGUAAUUAAUUUACAUUUUAAAUGAUAAACUAAAAAAUAGUGAUGGCUGAUAGUUAAUGGUUGGAUUGUAGUAAUUAAUAUUACAUUUUAAUAUUACAUUGACCGAAGUAAUUUGUGUUGAUUUUAUCUCUUUAGAUUGGAACCUAAAGUCAUUAUUAAAUUAAUUGCAACCAUUCAUGGUGAGAAAAUAUGAAUUCAUAAAAAUGAUUAUUAUGUUCAUAUGUUAUGCGAAAAAAUGCAGCAUAUAUAUUGGAGGAAAAAAUGCAGCACAUUGUUAAUUUCAUUAACAGGACUUUAAAAACAUUUAUAGUAUCUCUUAAAUAAUUUUAUGUUAUCUAAAAAAUAUUAAAUCAGUAACUAAAAUACAAUUAAAACAGAAAAAUAAAAUAUCAUGUGCAAUUAUGUGCAUAAAAUAUCAUGUACACUUAAGUGCAGUUAAAAAAACACUAUUCGAAUUGAAUGAAUUAUGAAAAACUGAACUAUUUCUAUUAAAACUAAAAUAAAUUAUUUUUUUUUAACAAUUUGUCAAAGCUAAACUUCUUAAAUAAUGGUUCAAUGCAAUACUUACACAAUUAUGAGAGUUGAAAACUACCUGUACUUAAUUUCACCUAUUAGUUUAGAUUAAUUUUCAAAUAUGAUUUUUAUCAAUAAAAUUGAAUAUAAGUUGUAAAAUUUGUUUGUUAAAAAUUCUUUCAAUAUUAAUCAAUGCAUCUCAAUAGAUUAAUAACUGAUGAUAUGCUUUUACAGGAUUCUUAUAUAGGAUGAGUUUGUUUGUGCUUAUUUUUAUUUUAAAAAAGUGUUUUCUUUUUAUAAAUAAUUAGAUUUCAGUUUUUUAAUGUCUUUGUCUAAUCUGCUUAUUUUAUAAUAAGCAAUUUUCUGUUAAUUUCAAUUACAAAAUCUUAUUUGCUUUGUAAAUAACUCAUUAUUUUAAAAAUUGCUUAAUUCAGAAAUACUUACAUGGCAUAAUCUCUUUGUCUUUGUAGAAAGAUUCCAGAAAUGAAUCACUCCUGUUGGCUUCAAAAGAACAGAGGAUAGUCUAUGAAAAUGUCUUAAGGCUAGUUGAAGAGCAGAAGGUUUGUUUUCUAUUUACUAGUGAAUUUCAAAUCUAGAGAGAGAGAGAAAGAGUAGGCUUAUAACCUGGAAAAACAGCUUGAUCGAAACAGAAAUCAGAAAUGAAAAUUGAAGAGCUAAAAGGAAAAUUACAAGUUAUGAAGCAUCUUUGAGAUGAAGAUGAUACAACUCUUCAGAAGAAGAUAAAAGAAAUGAAUGAUGAAUUGCAAGAAAAAAUAGAGAAUUUUGUUUUAAUGAGAUUUUUUUGUUUGUUUUUGUUUUAAUUUAUUUAAAUAUUUAAAUUUUAAAAAUAUAAAUAAUAGAAUUCAAUAUAUAUUAUAGUAAUUUAGAUUUUGAUUUAUUAAUAAGAAUAGAAAUUCCAUUUAACCUUACUUCAUCCCAAUGUCAUCCACAUUCAAAUUAUACCACAUCUAGCCAUCGGUUAAGAAGUGGGUUUUAAGCUUAACUUAAUCCAUAAAACUGACUUAUGAGAUGAGGUUUGCACCCAUUUAUAUACAAUGAAAUGUCUUCAUCUCUAGUCGAUGAGAGAUCUCGACACACCCUUCACGCCGAGGCUACCAACUCAUACGUUGAGAUAUAUGUUAUAGGUGGUCCGAUAACGGUCAAAUAGCGGGUGACCUGAUAAACUCAACAAACACUUGCUAGAUAGACUCGAAAUGACUCUAUACCAUGUAAGAAAAUGAUAUAUAAGAAAAUGGUAAGAAAAAAAGAUAUUUCUUUGCAAAAAAAAACAAUAUGGUAUCAAAAGAUCAGCAGGACAAAAAUCGUGCAAUAUGUACACAAUUAUAUGUAAUAUAAUUAUAUCUCUUUUUCUUACAAUUUUCUUAUACCAUCUGCCACAUUCACCAAAUAUUUAUUAAUUCAAUUGCAAAUUUAGAAGCAAAAGUCAAUUUCCCCCAAAACCCACUAACAAAGAAUUGCAGCGAUUCCUUUUCUACUGCUGGAAUACAUUAUAAAAAUGAAUGUUUCUGUUUUAUAAUUGCAAAAUUGGUUUGAAUAUGAUAAAAUUUACAACUAAAUUAGAUUACUCCACUAAAUGCAUUUAGAUAAUUUGGCAAUUCACUAUUUUAAAUUGGUAUUUCUAUUUUAUUUUAUACAAUGGUGAUUAUUGUGAUUCUUUUCUUUUUCCUGGAAACUGAUGAAAACAUGUCACACCACAGUGCGUGCAUGCAUGGUGCAUGGUGCAUGUCCAGUACUACUGCACCAAUUAUUUCAGUUCAUUGCAAAUUAUGAUAAUUAAUCUGUCAUUUUUGGUCCAUCUAAAUAUUUAGGAUGUUAGUUACAAAUAUUAUUUCUGAACACUUCAACCACAACAACAAGUAUCUCACAUUUGCUUUUAUAUAUUUUAUGAAGAGUUCUGAUAUUUUGAAAACGUGAAUAUAUAUUGUUGGAGAUCCCAUAUCGACUAGAGAUUAGAGUCUUUCGUUGUAUAUAAGUGGGUGCAAACCUCAAUUCUAUGAGCCAGUUUUAUGGGGUUGAGUUAGGCUUAAAGUCUACUCUGUAUAUGAGGUGUAUUUAUAAAUUUAUUUUUAUUAUUAUUCAAUAUUUGAACAAUGAAUUAUGACUUUUUUUUUUAUUUGAAUUAUUUAAAUUUUUUUAAUAUAUAAUAUCUAUAAUUAUUUGUAUUUUUUAAUAAAAAAUAUACAAAUAUAAUAAAAAAUAUUUUUGUGUUAAGUUAAAAUAAAUUUAUUAAAUAUAUUAAAAUUUAUGAAAAUAAUAUUUAUUUGUUAUUUUAUAUAAAUAUAUAUAUAUAUAUUUUGUUGAUAUUAUAAUUUAUUUAUUUAUUUAUAAUUAUAUGUUAUUAUUAAUUAUUAAUAAUAUAAUUAAAUAUUUUUAAAAUUAUUAAAUAAGUUUAUAUAAUAUUUAAUUUUAUAUAUUAUAUUAAAAUACAUACAAGAAUAUUUUAUAUUUAGGUAAAAUACAAUAAUUUUUAUAUGAAUCUCAACAAUUUUUUUUAUUUGUGUGAAAGGAGAAAACUGAAAAAGAUCUUCACUUUUUUCAUCCUUUCUCCCACUCUCAAAGCACAAAAUAUAUACACUCUCCUCAUACUUCAAAACAAACUCAGCAACAAACACAGCAUUAGCUAUCAAUAAUUAGAGAAAGAUAAUUACUAUUAUUUGAGUGAUAAUAAGUAACUGUUUAAAAAAUAAUAAUGAACAAGAAUAAUUGGGAUAAAUAAUUUAUUUUAAAUUGAAUUUUUUUUUCUUUAGGUAAUGCAAUUCUUUUUCGAAUUUUUCAAAAUGGGCAAAACAAUUCGUAAAUGGAUAAAUCAUCAAUGUAAAAUACGUUGUGAAAUAGAAUACUUAAAUAGCCUAUAUUAUAUAUUUUUUUAAUAUAUAUAAAUUAUCUUGCAGUGAGCAAAUUGUUAUUUAGAAUGACAUUAUCACCUAACAUGUAGCUGUAAAAACAGAGCUUUCAUUUUCAUUGGGCUUUGUAAUAAAUUGCAAAAAAAUAUAGGCUUGUGCUUACUAAAUUAUAUCGUUCUAAUUUAAGAAAAAAAUAUGUCAAAAUUUUGUUUUGCUUCUAAAGAUACAUGUGGAGAAGUAAUGGAACAUGUGUUUAUAUUGUUUUUUUUUCUUUUUUUCAAAAUACACGAAAUCCAUUUUUGAAUAAAAUUUAUAAGAAAAAAAAAUCAAAACGCAUAUCUUAUGAAAUGUAUUUUUUAAAAUGAGUUUUGUAGAAUUUUCGGGAACACAUCUUUAUGUAUUGCAAAAAGAACUUCUUCUACCAUAUUUUUGUGCUAAAAAAAACUUUUUGGAACAACUUUAUUUUUUUUUUUCCUUUCUUCUUUUCUCUGAUGAACAACCGUGGUAACGGUGGUGGGUUGCAGCAUGGGAGGAACAAACCGGACAAUUUUACUCAAUUAUAGUGGUACAGGUUAAAAAAUGGGGGCACAAGAAGUAAUUUCCUAAUCAAUAUUUAAGCAAAUUAAGAUAGGCCAAUUACUUUUUGCACCGUGCACCCAAUUUCAGUAUUAAAAGACAAAAGUAUCCUUAAAUAAAUUGGGGAUAUCUAUAAAAAUACAUUCAAGAUCUUCUUUAUUGAAAUAUGUUUCCAAAAUUCAUAUUGCGAAUUUUUUUAUUCAGAAUCAAAUUUGAUUUUUUUUUUCAGAUUUUUAUUUCCAAAACACAAUACAAUCUACUUUUCCAUACAACUCCAGAUUUUUAUUUCUGGAAUGAAGUAUAGGUUCAAAAAGACUGGGUGUAAAAAGAAUUUGCCUUAAGAUAGAAAGUUCAAAAUGGGCCGACACAGUGGCUUGGGCCAUGGAAUGGGAAAACAACUCUAAUCAAGGCUUUUAUUUUCUGCACCACCAUUUUUCAACAUGCACCUUUACAAUUAGGUAAAUGAUUGAAUUGUUUAGUUGUCUAUCCCUCAUUGCAGCACACAUUGUUGCCACUACUACUAACACUAGUGUACUAUCAUUAUUAUGUAAUAUUAUAUAUUAUAUAUUUAUGAUUCUUCGAUUUAUAAAUAUAAUAAUUUUUAUUAGAAUAAAUUUUAAAUAAUUUUAAUAUCAUAUUAAAAAUUGAAGAUUCGACGUAAAAAUAAAAACAUUUCAUAUUUUUAAAUGAAUACAAACAUUAUUUUAUAAAUUAGUUAAACUUAAAAUGUAUUUUCUACUACAAAUUAUAAUUUUUUUAAAUAUUAAUAUUUAUGAAGAUUUUUUUUAAUAUAUAUUUAUCAUGGAUUUAAAAUGAGUUAGAUUAGAUUGAUGAAAUUAUCUUAAUUAUACAUAAAAAUGUAUAUAUUUAAACUUCUCACACUUAAAUAAAGUAAUUUCGGUAGUUUUAUUAAUGGACAUUCAUAGAAAAAAAAAAGCACAUUGCUCGUCAUCUCUAUUUAUUUUAUAUAUUAUUGUCUUCAUUUUCAAGCGAUUAUAUAUAAAGAAAAUAAAGAAUAAUGUAUAUUUGGUGUCUUUUCUACUUUGUUGUGUACAAAUAAAGUAUUUGGGUAAUUUUCUUUUGUUUUACAUGUUUUCUUUCCUUUUCAUCUCAAUUAUACGACCACACUUCUUUCUUUGUCUUUCUUUUUUUCAGUCCUCAUCUUUGUACGCAAAUACACCACCAUUUUAUAUAGACAUGCAUAUUAACUUUAAAACUACUUAACGUAAUUUGAAAUUAAUAUUUAAUCAAAAUAGAAACAGGAUGACGAUGUUAAACUACCAAAAAUGUCACCUAUAUACUCUUAUACACUCUUAUAGAAAUAUAUUCAUCACUACAUUGUUAGAUAUGUUUCUACAAAUACACCUCAAGAACACCUGCAAAGUCUCCUUCAACAUUAAUAUCAACAUUAAUACACUCUACCACCACCCACAAAAACUCCUUUGGGAAUGCCACUCUCACUUUUCGACCCACCCUGUACCCUAAUGCACACAGACUGUGCCAAAACGUUUUUUUUUUUAAGCUAAAUGCAAAUUAUUUUAACAAAAUUCAUUUUGAAUUACAGAAUGUAAUUACAUGUAUGUUUGAAAUCAAUUGUAGUCCCAAAUUUACAUUCAAGUUGUAAUUUUUAUUUAAAAUUUGAAAUUUUGAUUUUUUUAGCACCAAGAUAAUUUGAAUAAAAAUUGAAUUUGAAUUAUUGUUAUUUAUUGUACUGGUUUUCCGUGCCAAGUAGUGGUCCUGCAUGAAAAAUCUUUUCGUAAAUUUCAAGCAUUUAUUUUCUUGGUAUAACAGCAUACUCAAUUUCAACGUGCUACGUGGUGACCACUUUUUUCAAAAUACUGAGCCUUCUUUAGGAUAGCAGCCCUACACAAAAACGUCAAUACUGUGUCAUGCGCACGUUCAAUCGUGCUACGGUAUUCAUUCUAAAUCAUGCCUGCAACUCUCCAACUAAAAUAGUUUGGACUAAAUUAACAAAUUUAAUGAUUAUUAUUAAGAGUGAAGUUUCAUUUCCAACUUUGAUUUCAAUUUUACUCAAUUUGACAGGCGAAACUAAGAAAGACAAUAAAAUAAACCCACCAAAUAUCCUAUUCUUAAAACUGCUGUAGUUUCCAAUUCUUUUAAAAGGAUGUAACUAUAUAAUGAUUCUGUGUUUCCUUUGGCAACAAUUUAAAGGUGCAAACUAUUCAAAUUUCUGAAUUGGUGCUCUCCAUUGCAUUCAUUCAGUGACAAUAAUAUUAGUAUGAGAUGAGAUGUUCUUAGCGAACAGAAAGUACAUUUCUCUCUUACAAAUCAAGCACAGAUCUAACCUUGACCAAAAAUCAUCCGUGACAAUAACCAUUUACACAAAUCACUAUGAUUAAAUACAUGUAAUAUAUACGAAAAAGUAAAGAAAAAAAUAAAUAUAAUGUAGGUAGGUAGUAGAAGUAGUAGUAAGGAUUCGGUUCUGCACAGCUCAGUCUCAAUUUGCCUUAAUUGGUCCGAAGCGGCAGCAAACCCAACACCACAAACUUAAAAACUCGCAUAAAAAUUCAACCCAACAAUCAAAUCUAACUUUGGAUGUUCUUCUCUCUAAUCUAACAAUUGGAAGACAAAGUGGACAAGGUUGUGGCAGAGGAGGUUCUGCUGGGGGAGGGUGAGGCAUUGUUGUUCUUCAACACCACCGUUGGUAGAAUACUGGUUUUUCUUCUUUCUCCUUCCUUAAUUAUCUCUCCCCCAAACAACUCUAACUUCUCCAGGUUGGAACUAUUCGCCACCUUCUUCCCCUUGAACAAAACGGCUUCAACGUUCUUCUGCCUCAACAUCUCCUCCGAAACUGCCAACAAAUCCGACUCCGUUUUGCAGGACUUCACCUGCGCACCCUUGUUCGCCUUCGCCAUAACACCGUUUGACUGAAUGCGCACAUAAUUGUUCAUCCGACAAUCACCAAAUGCCAUUGAUACGGCUUGAUCAACCUGCAUUAUUUUAUUUCAUUCCCAUUAGAAUAAAUAUCUAAACCAAUAAUUAAAGUAAACCCAUUCAUUAUUAUAUAAUCAAAUAUGGCGGAUGUGUUUGUAAGGUAGUUAACACAUUUAUUGUCCUUUCCCUAACUACCAAAUUAAUUAAAGCUCUAUAUGAACACAGCAUAUUUUAGCAAAUGGUGUAUUGUUAUCUUUAUUGUUACAUUUAAUUUAUAGGGAUAAAAAGUAACUGGGCUACAUGUAAAAAUUAAUAUCAUAAUAAUUCUAAACUGCUAAUGAUCUCUUUAAUCUAAAGUGUUUAAUUAAAAGAACAAGAAUAGAAUGGCAUUAACUAAAUUGCAUAUUGCAAUUUAUAAUAUAAAUAAAACGUUUAAGAGAAAAUAAAAUGAAACUUCAAAUUAUACUUUAAUACACAUAAAAGAGGAAGAUUAAUAAAUUUGGUAAUUCUUACCAUAUCGGAAGCUCCUUCGCCAGCGAUCUUUACGAAACCAGACGGUGAUUUAACGGCGUUAAAGUCUGACUCUCCGUUGCCGAGGGAGAGUACGAGGAGGUCGGAGACGCCGUUACAGAAAGGAAACUCGUGUUUGUUAUUGAGAACGUGGGUGAUGGAAACAGCUGUUGGAUUGUUCAUUGCAACGCCUCCACCGACGGCCAAGAUCCUGGUCCUGCCGUCGAUGGACCGCAUCUCGGUGGGGCCCGCGAAGGAAGGGUCAGCUGACGUGGCAGCGCAAACGUCGCUCAUUUUGAAAUCGUAGCCGUCCAUUUCCAGCGCGUCGGCGCGCGAGAAAACAAACGGAGCGCGUGUGACGAGGUCGUAGCACGGGAUCAGUACCGGCUUCACGGUGUCCUUCAGCGUGCACUCGCCGAACGUCCUUCGGAAGAGCUUCUCCGCCUUGGACUCGGGCCGCAGCACUCGACGAAGGAUCCCCGACCGGCGGGAGAUCCUGCGACGGUUGUCAGUGAGGAACCUCAGCGCCUCCUCGGCGGUGAACAGCGGCUGGCCAUCCUUCCCGCGUGCGAAGAGCAGAGCGACGAGGACACCACCGACGCCGGAGCCAGCGGCAGCGUCGAAGAAAUCAGAAACACGCGAGUUCGCGUCGCCGGACUUGCGGCGAAGGCAUUCCUCGAGGUGCGCGAGGGACUUCGCGGCGAGGAUGCCGUCGGUGGCGCCUGCGCCGUCAAUGCAAAGGAUCCUCACUUUGCCGGCGCUGUGUUUCGCUGGUUUCGCGUCUAUUCCUUUUGGAACGGAAUUGGUGUCGGCGUCGCCGUAGCCGAAGAGGAAAUUGUUCUCGAGAAUGGAGAAGAUUUCGUAGGUGAGCUUGUCGACUUGGAAGUUAGAGUCAAUCAUGUUGAGGUUCAUUGGAGAUGUGGACAUUGCCGCCAUUUCUGCAAUUGGAGCGAAGUUUUUGUUAGAGAGAGAAAGAGGUUUUGAAGAGAGUUUGUGUUUUGUGUUUGUGUUGUUGAAGAAUUGUGAUGCCGAAGAAAGGUGUGGAAGGUGGGUAUAUAUAGUGAGGAAUGAGAGUGAGUGAAUGUGACGAUCGAAGAACAUUCCACAUCCCUGUGGUGGGCGAUUAAUCGGCACGCGAUUUGUGUUUUCUUUUUUUUCUCUGAAUUUAAUAAUCCGUGUUAAAGGAUUGGACAGAGUGAGCGAGGGAACUGUUUGCUACUUUUGAAAAUAGUAGUAAUAGAAGAAACCACCAAUUAAAAAGAAAAAAAAAUGAUAAAACUUAUUUAGUGUCUAAUAAAAUUAAAAAAUGUGUUAAAGAAUGGGAGGGAAUUGUAUUUGAGAUGGGUGAAACUGAUGGUAGUUUGGAAAAACGAAGAGAAAAGCGAUGCGUUGAAAGGAAAGUAAAAUUGGGAGACCACAAACAAAGUUCCAAUUGAAGGACUUUAUGGUAUGAAUUUAAAAUGUUGUUGGUGGGUACAGUGUUUGGUUAGUCUUCUUCUUUCUCUUUUUUUGUUGCACCCUUUUCUUCCGUGCUGUUGCUUUAUUCUGCUCGCUUUCAAUUCAGAUUGUAAAUUUUAAAAACUUAGUGCGGGGAAUGUCAUGGUGCUGUUUCGGAAACGGAACUCUCUUCUCCUUAUUCUACUCUUUCACAACUAUAAUAUUCCACUUAUCAUUAUUUAAGUAAAAGUGUUUUGCUACACUAAGUUUUUUUUUUCUAUUUUUUUAGGAGUGCCAAGAGAAUGUUAUCUUAAAAUAUUGUUGUUUUUCACCUGUUUAUUAUUCGUUAAAUCUCAUCCAUUUCCCUUCAAUAGAUAAAUCAUUGUAAAAUCAAGUGAGUUUUAUACACCAUCAACAUAAAGAUCACUUACAAUAACUUUUAGAGUUAUUAGUAGAUUAUUAUAUUAUAUGUUACAAAGAGUAUAUUUUUUUUCUAUGCAAGGUACGUAGUAUAAUAAUAUUCAAGGCUAAGAUACUUUCCUUUUGUUUUAACAAUACUUUCCUUUUGUUUUAACAAGAGUACUUUGGUGUGUGUUUUCAAUAAAAAAACGUUUUUAGCAAUUUAUUUCUUAACUUUUUUUUAUUUCUUUUAAUUAAUCUAUUACAUUUGAAAUUGUUUUUCAACUGAGUAACAUGCUAUUUUAUGUUGUUUUGUAAAUGCAAAGUAUAAUUUACAUUACAAAAAAAUAUCUAAUGUAAGAUAUAAAAGAAACAUAAUAUUAUAAAAAAAAAUCAAUGUUAAAAUGACAUAAUGCUCAAUAACUAUUAAAAAAUAUAUAAUUACUAAAAUUUCAAAAUAAAAUAUUAAAUAAGGACAUAUUAUUUUGUUGAUAUACGUGAUUUUAGAAAAUUGAUUCUUAGUCGUAUUCAUGUAUUGUUAAUUUUGAUAUUAUUUUGCUGAUUUACGUAAUUUUGGAAAAUUGAUUAUUACUCGUAUUCAUGAAUUGUUAAUUUUGAUAUUCUGUUAAUAUCAAGACGAGUCUGAAUAAUACACGUGGAUACGAUUUUUUUUUAUCUCAACUUAAACUUAUAUAAAUACAUUUACACCUUGAAAAAUGAGUCCUCUUUCUAAACUAUUCAAAGAAUUUUAAUUGAGACACAAAAUAUCUUCAUGAAUGUACACAUGAUGGAAAAAAACGAUAUUUACAUCAAAGUUUUUCAACUCCAUAUGACAUUAAAACUUACUAAUAUACAUCCUACCAGGUUUAUAUAUUAUAAUUUAAUUUUUAAAUGAUAUAAGAUAUAUUUUACUACACAAAUAAUACACCAAGAUUUAUAACAAAAUUUAUUAAGAUGUUUUUUUUAUAAUAUUAUGUUAAAAUAACUUAAUACCACAAAAUUAAUUUCUGAAGUGACAUUUACAUCUUAUCUAUAUAUUAUAAUUUAAUUAAGUGUAUAGGUGAUGUGAGGUUUCAACCAUAUAUAAGUUGAAUAUAUUUUUAGUUUUUAAUGUUUUUGCUAAAACUUGUUUUUUUUUCCUUUAAUUUUUAGAAGAUUCACUUUAGUUAUUUUAACUUUCAAAUUUGAGUUAGCAUUGGUGUUUUAAUCUUGGUAUAUAGUUUUGAAUAUUUUAAAGAUUAAAAUAUGAAAACUGAUUUUAAUAAAGAAACAAGAAUAAACUAGAUAUUUGAAGCUUUAAUUUAUGAAAAAGGUGAAUGCAUGCUUUUAUAUUUUCUCCCUGGAAAAUGAUUUAAAAUUUUAUGAUAACAUCAUAGAAUUUGUUAGAGUGAUGGGAAGAAAUUAGAAUGAAAAAGAAAUGAAAAACCAUUAAAUAGAGGAAUAAAGGAGUGAUGUAUGGGAAGGUGGUGUUAACACGUGUGUACGUAGACAUAAUUUGGACAGUGUAGCCUAGGCACCAAGGUUGUACUAUCACUAUUUCAUAGCUCAUCGUUUUCCUUUUUUGGACUGUUUCAAGUCUCUUCCUCUUCUUAUCAUUGUCAUUCACACACUCACCAAAGGAAGGUCGGUUCUUUUGUCUUUCAUUCUUCAGAAAAACAAAGGGAAAAGAUUUAUGAUCACACUGUAAAAACAUAUAUUGACAUCAUAUUAUAAUAAUAUUUAAAAUUAAUAAAUAAUUAAAUAUUAUAAAAUAUUAUUUUAUUAUUUUUUGAAGUGAAUAAACGCUACAAGAAAAUAAAAACCAAUUUUAGAGACAAAAAAUAAUUAGUUGCUAUAGUGACUAAAUUAUAUAUCAUUUUAGAGGUGGUUUCUCAAUUAGUUUCUAUUAUUGUUAAAUAGUUUUUAAAUUGAUAUCUAUUACCAAAGUUUUAACUACCAAUUAUUUAUAUUUUAAAUUUGGUAGAAAAAUCUUGGUAACUAAUUAGAUAAUAAUUUAUAAAUCAUUUAACAAUAAUAAAAAUUAAUUUAAAAACAUUUUUUUUAGUUUCUAAAAGAAUCUUUAAUUUAGUCACCAUAACAACUAUUUUUUUGUCUCUAAAAUUGAUUUUUAUUUCAUAAUUUUCUUGUAGUAACAUUUAUAAUGUUAACAUAUCACACUCAAAACAAAAAAACAUUUUUCAACACUUUUAACAGCUUUUUUGAGUUACCAUCUCUUAAAAUAAUAUUCACAUAUAUAUUUAACGGAAAUUUGUACAAAUGGUGAGAAGCUGGAUUUUUUAAUAAAUAUAUUUUCAAUUGGUCUCCAACAAGGGAUGAAUCUUCAUCUUAAAGAGAUUCUCCAGUGUAUGAGUAAGUAAGAUUAUAAAGAUGAUAAGAGUAUACAAGAAUUAAAAGUAUCCAAUAAAAUACAUUGAGAAUUGAGAUUUGUGUUGAUCCUUGACUUGACAAUUAUUUAUUGUUUCAUAAAUAACCGCUAAUGAGUGGAGUUUUUUUAAAUAGUUUGUGUUAUUUAUAAUUAUCAUUGAUGACAAUACAAACUCAAUUACAGGAUAUAUAGAGUUGUUUCGAGUUAUAAAUAUAAGUGUAUACGAGAAUUAAAAGUAUCGAAUAAAAUGCAUUGAGAAUUGAUAUUUAUAAUUUUUUUUUGUUAUAUUUGACUUGAAAACUAUUUAUUGUUUCAUAAAUAACCGCUUAUGAGUGAAAUCUCUUUAAAUAGUUUGUGUUAUUUAUAAUUGUCAUCGAUGACAAUGCAAACUCAAUUACAGGAUAUAUAAAACCAUUUCGAGUUAUAAAUAUUUUCGUCUUUAUAACGACUAGGUAAAAAACUAAGAUUCUUAAAACGAGUUAAGUAUUUUUUAAAAGAUACAAAUUAUAAGACGGUUAAAUAAGAAUAUUGAUAAAAAAAAUAUAAAACAUAAAAAAGAUAUUAUCAUAAAAUUUGUUGAAAUAAGAAUUUUCAUUAUGUGCAAUUGCUAGUGUUUAUGCGAAUUUUGGCAUUGAAGUUUUUUUGACACUCUUCUCUAAAACUGUGUGACAUUCUCUUUCACUUUCUGAAAAAUAUUCUCCCACUCAUAUAGUUUUCUCCAUAACUGAAAUAAUUCCAAACCAUUCAAGCCUAAAAAUAUUAACUCGACUCACUAGUUUUUUUGGUAAUGACAAGGAAUUUAGAUAAUAUUUGUUAACUUCGAAUUUCAUUAAAUUUGAAUCUCGUCGCCGUUAUAUAAAGAUAAACAUUGCCCCAAAAAUUUAUGAAAAAUGCUUUGAAUGUUGAAAUUUAAAUGCAUUAUUAGGUCAAUAGGUCCGCCGCAACCAAAGAGGGACGUCUCAAGUGUGCAAAAGCCAAUUGUUGGUUUGAAAUAAUGAGAGCAAUGCUAAAGAUAAUGUGGUGUGUAGUUGCAAAAUUAAUUUUGAUUUUCAUCAGCAGCUAUAUUUUAAAUUAACUUAUUUUUAUAUUAUAUUGUUGUUUGGCGAUAUUGGUGGAAGAUAGUUUAUAGAUUUAUAACUACUAUAUGUAUAGUUUGGAAUAGGAUGAGUUCCACAACACAACUUUAGUAUUCGGUUUUGAUUGAUUGAUGUCUAAAAUGUAUUGUGGAUCAAGAGAUAAUUAAUAAAGUUAAGCAGUAUGAAAAAUUAGGUAAUAUAUUAUUAAUCACGAUCCAUACAUUAAUAUUGGUCAAAGAGUAACAAUGUCCAUGAUAAACAUAUAAGUAGAUACAACUUAAAAGAAAAUACAUGUCGUUAUUACACAAUUAUUGCACAGAAUACUCACUUCAUCACUAGAUCACCUUUUGUAGGUAUUCUUUGACCGAAAACAAAUGAAGAAAAUAUAGUUUGAUUGAAGUGGAGGAACGAGAGCAGAGAAAGAGAGAAUAAGUCGAAUAAGUCUGAGAAGUAAAAAAAAACACGUACUGACUGAUUAAAACAAAAAAAAGUAAAUUAUUCCAUGAUAAAUAUUUUCUUAAAAACACUAUCAAAUUUUUAUAUUUAUAUUAUAAUUCAAAAUAAAAGAGGAAAGAUUUUGACCACCAUUAACCUUAAACCAAUAUGUACACAAUUUUUAAAAGAAAUAAGUAACAUUUACAUCAAUCAUACAACCACUAAUAUUUUAAAAUGUCUAUUGUUGAAAAUAAAAGGAUUAAUAAUAUAACAUUUUUUACAAAAUCUAUAGAAAUUAAACUUUAUAUAUAAAUGUGGAAUCAUACAAAACCCUUUCUCUGCCAAAUUUGAUAAAAUAAGCUGCGGUGCAUAUGAAAAAAAAAAGAGAGAAAGUAGGAGAAGACAAGCAUUAAUGGGAGAACGUGCGCUUACAAGUUGCAAUAGGAAUUAAUGAAUUACGAUGGUGCGCCAUGUAUAGUAGUCCUAGAAAUAAAUAGAUGGAUUGAUUUUUGUAACAUUAAAAUCUCUUACUCCUUAUUUAUGACCCUUCUUAUGAAGAAGACUUGUACUUUUGGAUUUCCAACGUGAAUACAGAAUAUAGAGUACAGAGAUGUUGUGGUUACAGUGAUUAUUUUGAUUGGGGAGAGUAAAAGAAUGGAAUCGAAGAACAAUAGCUCAGAUGAGAUUCUUACUGUGGGUUUGUUACGGAUGUUUUGGGUGGUAAAAACAAAUUGUAUUUGUUGGUAUCAUAGGAGCCAUAUCAUUCAAUCACACAUUUAAAACAAUUACAAUAAAUAGUAAAAGUGAUUGGGUAUGAAGUUACGAUCAAUUGUGUUGGACCGACUAAAUACCGUGUUUAGUGAGUAAGUUUAAUCAUAAUAUCAUUUUAUAAUUUUUAUUUAAAGAAAUCAUUGUACUUAGGUGUGCAACAAAACAAAAAUGAAAACCUAAUAGUUGCUCGUGUAGAUGUAGGUUGCAGUUGACGACCGAAUCACAUUAAAUUUUGUGUUGUUUAUUUUUCUACAGUUGAUUCGUGAUUGUGUGGUGCUUCCGCGUGAUAAAAAACUUGUUAAGAAUUCAGAACAUGUUCCAUCAAAUUCGGAUAACACUUUAAAAAAUCAGAAAAUCUCUCUCAAAAUAAACUAACAAUGAUAUAUAUAUAUAUAUAUAUAUAUAUAUUAGAUUCAACUUAUUAGGACAGAUAAUCUAUAACUAAAUAAUAUAAAUAAAUCCUCGUAUAAAUAUGUUUUUAAUCAGUUAUUAAUAUACCAUUAAUAUACUAUACUGAGUAUUUAGUUAUUACUAGAAUUGAUUACUAGAAUAUAUUUGUUGGUCAAACCUGAUCGAAUAUCAACAAAUAAAAGAAAAACCUAAAAUGAAAAACAAAAGAAUGACUGAGAUACAUAAAAAAAAUUUACAGAUAUUAUCUGGAUACACUUUUAUAGAAUGAUGAGAAUGGAGAUGAUGGUGUUACGUGAAAGAAAGUUGGUUGAUAUUUUGGACAGUAAUGUUGGGGAUGAGAUUCGGUAUCAGGCAGGGAGUGUUACGUCGCUGGUGAAGGGCAGUGGUGGGUAGUGUGAGAGUCAGAGGCAAAAUCUGUGUAGGGUCUCUCACAAAGAUGUGGUCUCACUCACAGAUCAUACCCUUUUCUCUUUCCCUCUCUCUUCUUUUCUUCUCUUCUUCCAUGCAUUCUCUGCUCGUACCGACAAAAUCAAUCGUUUUUACUCUUUCUCAGCUUUUCCAUCUUUUCUUCUCUUCUACCUCUCUCUCCAU